UUUUUUUUUUUUUUUUUUUUUUGUACUUCUCUCUGCUGUAUUUUGGUUUUAUAGAGAAAAAGAAAAAAAUGCUCGCUCAUUUCCUUACCAUUAUCAUCUCAGAUUUAAUACUUCACACUGUAUUAGUAGUAUUAGUGUAAUAAUAAAGACGGUAUUUAUUUACUUUCUUUCGUAUAAUUCGUAUUUAUCAUCGAACAGAUUCAGUUUUUGACCCUAUAAAAAUAUAGAAAAUUGGCCAAUGAGAUAGCGCCUAAUUAUAUAUAUAUAUAUAUAUAUAUAUAUAUUUUUUUUACCCUUUCACUUUUUAUUUGGGAAAUCCAGCUCACUACUUCUGCCUUGAAUUUAAAGCUCAUUCGUAUUUGGUAACUUGUUUCAACAACCCACUUAAAAAUCAAAAACCUCUCUAGUUACUAAAACUAUUAUUUAGAUCAGGUCUAGCUUUUGAUCUCUGAAAGGGAAAGAAAACCUUAGAAAACUUAAGUGGAAAACUAUAAAGGAAAGAAGAAAAGAAAAAAUGGAACAAGUAGUAGUAGUAGAUUCCUCCUGCUGUGAGAUCGAUCAUAACUCAUAAAUGACCAGAGGAAAUGGAAGAAGAAGAAAAUCCCAAGCUGUAAAGAUCAUAAAUUAAUUACCGAGGAAGCAACGUAGUGAAGUCAAUCUGUAGCUGUCGAAAACAGAGAACCAUACGUCAUACUCGACGAAUCAUAAACGUUUCGUUCAUUUUUCCUUUUUUAUUCUUUUUCAUAUAUAAUACGUAAUAUCCUUUUCUCUUUGGGAGCCAUUUUUCUUCUUUUACCGCUAAAGUGAAGUGCAGAAAGAGAUACAGAGAGAUAGAGAGAUACAAAACAUACAAUCCAAAGGUUUCUUGUUCCCGGAAAUGGAGGUCUCUCCGUCGGAAGACAAACUCGUUGGCUCCGUCGACGGCGAAGCUGUUCCUACACAAGUAUCCGACAUAAAAAACGAAGCUUUAGACAUUUGUCGGAUUUUCCAAUCACCGGAGGAACCAGACAAUCCGUUGAGACAUCCGUGCGCGUGUCGAGGCUCUCUCAAGUUCAUCCACUCAGAUUGUCUUUUUCUCUGGCUCAAUCGCCGUAAAUGCAACCAUUGCGAGGUCUUUAUAUCCUUUUUUCAUAAACUCUGUUUCUGCAACGAAUUUGGUUUAAAGUUUACUGCUUUUUUUUUUAUGUGAUUUGAGGAAUAAAUCUUCUAAAAAGUCUCUCUUUCUCUUUUUCUUUCUCUACUGCAGAUUUGUAAGCGACGCUACUCAAUUGUUCCUGUUUAUUCCGAGAACGCUCCAGAGAGACUAUCAUACCACGAAUUCUUAAUGGGAUUGCUACUGCGAGCACUACGUUUCAUGGCUUGGAUUCUUCCUUGGAUCUUGAUGAUUCCUUUCAACGCGUAUUGCUUUUCUCUUCUUCCUUGUGACAAGGAGGACUUUGUGAACCACACUGUUUUUGAACUGUCCUUGAAAUUUCCUGGCCUGUUUUACACUGCUGAGAUAGUCUUUAGUACCACCUUUAUGGUUGUUCUUGUGGAAAUCAUGAAAGAGCUUUUAAGGAUACACCCCGAGUUUUUACGUCUUAUGAUCAUCUUAGAUAAUGCUCUAAAUGAUAGAGACGUUACUGGCAUUUUGCUGUUGUUAGCAAAUCAUUUUCAUAUCCUGUGCGACUGGUGGCAUGAUCAGCUCUUACACUUGCCAUUUCUCCAUAUCUUUUAGAGGGGACCUCUUCCACUAGUGUUUGUUCCUAGAAACACGCCGCUUCAUCACUUUGGAGCCAUCAGAAGCUUUUUUUUCCUUUUGAAUGACAACACUUUUGCUGUGAGUCUUUUGCUCUCUAUAGUCAAUUACUCUUACAUAAAAGAAAAAAAUCAUGCUAUUCCGGAUUAACGUUGAUUAAUGUUUCACGAGUAACAGAUUCUUCUUCUUUCUCUUGUCUCUACAGGUUCUUGCCAUCAACAUAUAUUGGUCUUUUUUCAACGUUCUUUUACCAUUUUCGAUUGGCCGAGGUGUCUUGUUUCUUCUACGCUGUUUCCCACAUGGUUGGAUUGCGGAAUAUCCAUCUGAAGUGGCUGCGGGUGAAAUGGUUAUAUCAUCAGUUUGCUUGGCUUACCUUGGAAGUGUCUUUCCUCUGCUUCCAAACACAUAUCUAACAAGAGGCAGAUGGUUUUUACCGUCAGUUAAAGAUACAUUCAUCUUGUGUUUUAAACUCGGUGUUCUGCCUUGGAUGCUUGGUUUCUGGCUAGAUUUCUGCACUUCCCCUAUAUUGGGAAUUACAAUUUCCCAAAGCAUUGAUGUUCUUUCAGACUAUCCAGCCCUGGCUACCAAACAUUGGCGUGUGGGAAUGUUGUAUAGGUUCUGAAUGUUUCUUAAUAUUAACAAAUGACCAAUUACAAGAAUAUAUAGUACAGAGGAGACAUAGGGUAAAAAGUAUUUACAAGAUAAUCCCUAUAUUCUAUUUACUUAACCAUAUCCUUCUAUACGCCCCCUCAAGAUGGAGGGAGCUGGAUUACUCCAAUCUUGGAACAUGCUUGCUGAAACUGCCCUCUCGGAAGUGGUUUGGUAAGUGUAUCAGCCAACUGGUCGUGUGUAGAUACAUGAGAAACCCGUAACAUGUUGGACUGAAUCUGAUUCCUAACAAAAUGAUAGUCAAGAGCAAUAUGCUUCAUACGUGAGUGGAAGACAGGAUUCGCACAAAGAUACGUAGCGCCAACGUUAUCACAAUAUAUCACUGGAGUAGAAGGUAGGUUCAAGCGUAGUUCAGUGUAUAAAGAACAUAACCAUCUCACCUCCGCAGCCGUAUUCGCAACAGCCCGAUAUUCAGCCUCAGUGGAGGAGCGAGCCACACCUUUUUGCUUAUUUGAUGACCAAGAAAUAGGAUUGCGUCCAAUAUAUAUGACAUAACCAUUUGUGGAGACAUAAUCAUCUGUAUCACCAGCCCAGUCUGCAUCCGAGUAUCCUUGAAGUUUAUAAGGUGACGUAGAGAAGCAAUGUAGUNNNNNNNNNNNNNNNNNNNNNNNNNNNNNNNNNNNNNNNNNNNNNNNNNNNNNNNNNNNNNNNNNNNNNNNNNNNNNNNNNNNNNNNNNNNNNNNNNNNNAAGAGGCAUGAAGAUAAAUCCCAUGAGUAGUAGUACCAGCAAGAUAUCGAAGAAUGCGUUUGGCAGCUUGCCAAUGAUCAUGUGUCGGACGAUGCAUAAAUUGGGAUAGACGAUUGACUGCAUAUGAGAUAUCUGGCCGAGUAAAAGAGAGGUAUUGUAAACUCCCCACAACAGAUCGGUAUUGUGAAGCAUCAUCAAGAGCGAGGCCACUGUUCACUGUAAGCUUUGGCGUCGUACGAAGUGGUGUUGAGGCUGAUUUAGCAUCGAGCAUGUUAGUCUUGAGUAGAAGGUCAGUAAUAUACUUCCUUUGCAUAAGAUGUAUACCACUAGAGGAGCGUGAAACCUCAAUGCCCAGAAAGUAAUGAAGAUCAACAGGAUCUUUGAUGGAGAAACGAUCAGCAAAGGAGGUUAAAACUGAUGCGAUUGUGUCAGAGUGAUUACCGGUAACGAUGAUGUCAUCGACAUAGACAAGAACAUACGUGAGAUGAGACCCGGAUCCUCGAAUAAACAGUGAGGCAUCAGCAAGAGAAUUAGUGAAACCAGCAUGUAGAAGAUGUUGUUUGAGAGCCAUAUACCAGGCGCGAGGUGCUUGCUUAAGCCCAUAGAUCGGUUUCUUCAAGCGACAUACAUGCAUAGGUCUAUCUUUAUCAACAAACCGUUCUUUCAAGCCCUACUUAGGCAAGUGCCAGCUGUGUAACACUCAAGGACACAGUGCUCGUCGUUGUCCACAGCUCCUCUCACUUCAGUCUAGCUCCAACAGUAACAGCAGCCCCUUUACUCCUUGGCAGCCGCGUGCAAACAUGGCAGCAAUUGUUGACAGUGGAGCUACACACCACAUUACCUCUGAUUUAAACAAUCUCUCGCUGCAUCAACCUUACACCGGUGGAGAUGAUCUCAUGAUUGCUGAUGGCACUAAUAUGUCCAUCACUCACACGGGUUCAAUGCUUCUUCCUUCUCAAACUCGCGCUUUAAAAUUAGAUAAAAUUCUUUGUGUUCCUAAUAUACGCAAGAAUCUUAUCUCCGUGUAUCGUCUUUGCAACGCUAACCGCGUUUCUGUUGAAUUCUUUCCUGCUUCAUUUCAGGUGAAGGAUCUCAGUACGGGGGUCCCAUUACUCCAAGGCAGAACGAAUAAAGAGUUGUAUGAGUGGCCAGUUGUGAAUCAAAAUGCUGUAGCAAUGCUAUCUUCGUCUGGUCCAAGAACAAGUCUGUUUUCAUGGCAUUCACGCUUAGGCCAUCCUUCUUCUUCCAUUUUAAACACUAUUCUCUCUUCCUUUUCACUUCCUGUUGCAACUUCUACUCAAAAAUCAUUAUCAUGUUCUGAUUGCCUUAUUAAUAAAAGUCACAAGCUUCCAUUUUCUCAAACCUCUAUUACUUCAAAACGUCCUCUUGAAUACAUUUUUUCUGAUGUUUGGACCUCUCCAAUAUUGUCUCUCCAAAACUACAAAUAUUAUCUUGUUCUUGUUGAUCAUUUUACUCGGUAUACAUGGCUCUAUCCGCUGCGAAGAAAGUCUGAUGUGAAAGAAGUCUUUACGGUUUUUAAAGCUCUUGUUGAAAAUCGUUUUCAAACAAAGAUUGGGACGCUAUUCACUGAUAAUGGAGGGGAAUUUGUGGCUCUGCGGACUCUUCUUGCAACACAUGGCAUUACUCAUCUUACCUCUCCGCCCCAUACUCCUGAACAUAAUGGCUUGUCAGAACGCAAACAUCGUCAUGUCGUCGAAACUGGCCUCACUCUCAUGUCCAUGGCGUCAAUACCGAAAGAACAUUGGCCGUAUGCCUUCGCAACCGCUGUCUAUUUAAUCAACCGUAUGCCCACACCAGUGUUAGCUCUCCAAUCACCAUUUCAGAAGCUUUUUCAUAGACCUCCAAAUUAUGAAAAGUUACGAGUUUUCGGUUGUCUCUAAAACCUAAAAUUUUCUUUUGCUCUGAUACCAUAUAGGUUCUGAAUGUUUCUUAAUAUUAACAAAUGACCAAUUACAAGAAUAUAUAGUACAGAGGAGACAUAGGGUAAAAAGUAUUUACAAGAUAAUCCCUAUAUUCUAUUUAUUUAACCAUAUCCUUCUAUAUGUUGUACUUGAUAGUUGCUAUAAGCUGCAUGGAGCUUAUCCAAAAGGUAACAUUUGAAUUCGAAUUUUUGUUUAAUCCUCAGGCAUUAUCAGAUAUACUCAUUUUUUCUUCUUGCUUUUGGUAUCAGAUACUUCAGAAACGAGUCUUGUGGUAUCUGCUAGAUGUUGCAGAACCAAACUACAAAAUCACCAAACUGCAUCUUGGUCCCAUUCUCUUGGCGUUUGCUUUGCAUGGAGUAAUGGUGGUGAUUGUGCUUCACCUACCAAUAAAAACAAUCAGUCUCAUCAGCCAGUCCUUUUUCCCUCUCCAAAUUGGGUAAGCUCCUCUGGGCUUUACCACAUAAUUUUUUUAAAAUUUCUGGAUUCUUGAACAAUAUGUAUUACGGGAUUGCAGGGUCUACGAGGAGGAUUCUGCGCUUCGUUUACUUAUUGCUUAUACGUGCCUAAUUAGAUUUGGCCCCUGGUGGUUAGUCAGCUUAAUUAGACCAUCCAUCAGACCCAUAGUUCACAAGUGGAUUAUCACUAUCAGUUCUUUGCUCAAGUUAAGUGAUUUCUUGCUCGGAGAUCCCCUCAGAGACCGUGCAAAUCGUAAUGUGAGACCGCUGUUUCUAGUAUUUGGCCUAGCUGAAGGCUCUAUGGUCAGUUUGUAUGGAUCUCAAAGCGAUACCACCUGUGAAGAGGAUACAAACGACCAACGAGAUAAAAGGUAACCCGGUAACAAGCUUUUUAAUUCUGGUACAAUAUUCAUUCUGAUUAGUUGAAGUUUCAGGUUUAUGCUGAGGAUUGGAGUGAUGUUUGUUCUAGCUGCUCUGAGUAUGUUUCUUGUUAGUACAACCUUCAUGGCUCUACCACUCCUAGUGGGAAGGGAGUUCUUCCACUCUAUCUCUUUCUUCACGAUAAGUUUCGGAUUCAAACACGACGGUUUGUAAUUUCUGAAUCUUGCCUCAUACGUAUAUCUCUCCUUUGAUUUGUGCUUCUAAUUAUGUUUAAAAGUGCCUCUCUUCAAAUCAAUCAUUUUAGAUCUUUGUGCUUUCUCGAUUGGAUUCUGUAUCCUGCGAGGACUCUAUAUCGUCACUUGCUUCGUCUAUGAUCAUCUCGUGACGGAAAAAACAGAUUUACUUGUCAACCAUGUCCUGAUCUUCAUACGGAAUGUCUUGUUAUUCUCCAUCUGGGUAACAAGACUCAAAUAUCUGUCAUUGAAUAUUAUGACUUUUGAAUCAUCUUUUGUUGUGAACAUUUAUAUGUAUAACUUGUAAACCCUGAUGAAUAGAUCUCCAUCAUACCGGGAUUGCUCGGUCUCCUUAUUGACCUUAUGAUCAUCAUACCAUCACAAGUUCUGCUAGAUGAAUCCUCAGUAUAUAUCUUGUACCACAAUUGGUUGAUCGGUGUGGUUGUCCUUCACAUCUGGAUCAUUCUGGUAAGAGUGUUUUUUUUUUCCAAUCAAGAACUUAUAUUCUUCAACUGCUUCAGUCAAGAACUUAUAUUUUUACUGCUGAACAAGUAACUGUUUUCUUCCCGCGCAGACUAUGUACACUGGGAUCAACUGUUUCACGACUGUGGCAUGGCGGGAAAAGCUGCAGAGAAUCAGAAGCGUUGGAAUCAACCGACUUCCUUUUAAGUGGCUGAUUCGAGACGUUAUUGAUUCGAUCAUAGUGUCCCUGUUAUUCACUCUAUGUGUUCCCUACGUGGUGGUGAACUCUCUGUUCCCGAUUCUUGGAUUUUCCAGUGAAGUCAACUUAGCCGUCCAGCGGUUCAUUUGGCCGGCGAUCCUAACCUUAAUCCCCAUAUGGUUUAUUGUCAAGCUCAUUCGUGUUCUUAUCACUUACAUUCACCAACUGGAAUUUGAUAAUCGAUACAAAGUGGGAGAGAGGCUGAUGGAUCUCACUGACGAGCAGGCUGGAGUAACAACGACCAAAACCAAUGGCUAACGAUAGAGAAUAGUCUUCAAUUAUAAGUACAUAUACAGUUUCUUAUGUUGUAGUAUCUCUUAAGUAACUAAUCUAUGAAAUGCAAACACCUUAAGACGAUGAUUAGGAUUCAAAAUUUUAAACAAAAGAUAGUUUCAUAUGUUUAAUAUCUCAUUUAUAUUCACCGACUGGAAUACGAAGAUAGAUACUAGGUGGGUGAUUCGUCUUCAUUGAAGAUUAUGAAGAAUGGAGUUUCUUUGGGGCGUUGAGUUUCAUAAGUAUGAUAAUGGAUAUUGCACUUGUGUAGAUAGCUUCUGAUAUGCAAUUGGUAAGAUUGAUUAGUUUCAAAAUGUGAUGUAAGUUUUUUAUUCUCAACAACAUAAUGUACAACAGAGGUAUUUUCCAGAAUAAAUGUAUAGCCAAACUUGAAACUGGAAUACUAUUGUUUGGUGCUAAUAAGUAAAGGGAGCUUUAGAAUCUAACCAAAAAAACUUGAGUAAAAUUCUACAUUUUAUGGCGAUCAUUGUUAUUUAGACACACUUGCCUCAUCUGAUUUUUGCUUCUUCUCAACUUGAGCUCGUAAAGAACGGAUGAUCAAGAGCUUCAUUUGCUGUGAGACGCUCAGAUGGAUCAUAUGUCAGUAAACCAUACAACAGAUCUGCAAAUCUGGAUCUUGUGUUGUCAACAUGUUUCGAUAGCAUAUCCUGCAAGAAAUGUGAGCAGCUUCUACUUCAGAUUACGGCAUAUCGGACAAAAGAUAUAUCAUUGGACAAUGAGAAUUUAAUUGCGCUUAAACCUUGAGACGAUCGAGUCUUUUUACAGCUCUAAUACUCUCUCUAGAAUUGGCUCCUUCUGGCCAAUUCAGCCUAUACCCUCUCCUGAAAUAUUUCUCAGCACCUCGGCUGCAAAAACAUAAUGACCGUACAUGCAACAAGUGAUUAGCAUUUAUGCCUCUGUGGACUUUCGUGUUCCCAAAAGUUUGUGGAAAUAUAAAGCUAACCUGGCUUUUCGGGUCAUAUGUUCAGGCAAAGGUCCCAAUGCCCUCUCCAUCAUAGCUAGAUGUUCUAAGUUAUCAUGCGUCUGAAAGAGAGCCUCACCCUAAAGUAGAGAAAGAUGUUGACAAUUGUAAGCAAAGCUACUCAAAAUUAGGAGAUAAGAAUUCAUACAACAAGAUGAAAAAAAGACUUUACCGUGCAUAGUUCAAAUAGUAUACAACCUAUACUCCACAAGUCACACUGGUAACUCCAUCCUAGACCUGCAAUAAUAUGCAACUGGUUAGUUACCAAAAAAUAAGUAUGUUCAUUCAAUGGUAAGUGUCAGCUACACAAUCCGCAAGCAUGCAUCGACAAGCAAAUAACUUAUUUACUUACCUAAAAUGACCUCCGGGGACCUGUAAUGCCUUGUUUGGACAAUGGAGUGAUGAAUCCGGUUAUCACAAACAGUACUGCCAAAAUCAAUCAGCUUAAUGGCGCUUGACUUUGGUAAGCAUCUGAAAUGUGUCUCAUUUGACGAACUCCUCUGUUAAUUAAAAUCAAACACCAAACUGUCAGAAGUGCAAACUCUUUAAAGGACGUUUUUUUCUUUACAAAAACUAGCCUAUCAAAACUAGAUAGGCUGUACCCAAACCCAACCUUAACCUAAUUCAGUUCUAGAUACCUUAUUGUCAGGAAGUUUUACAUUUUCAGAAGACACCAGAAGAAUGUUUUCAGGCUUGAGGUCGGUGUGAACUAAUUGUAACUCGUGCAUAUCUGUAGAUAAGAAAAAAAAUUAUGUUAAGAGCAGAGAGGCAUUAGGUACUAGGUAGGAACUACAGCUACUGACCCCAGACAGAAAAAAACGGUUAAGAUAAACAUGCUAGGUACGAAAUUGUAUUAAAGAACAGCAGAAAGGAACAAUCACAGACAUGCUACAGAUUCCAAAAGCUGGCAUCCAAAAUCCCGAACAAGGGCCAGAGGAAAUGCGGAGUAUUUAUUUCUCUUAAGAAAGUCAAACAAACUUGGCCCAAGCUUCUCGAACACCUGGUAUCACCAUUAGAAUCCAUUCAAAGGAAGGUUUUGUUUAGUUCCAGACUUCAUUGACAAAAUCCACAUGGAUAAACUAACUACCACAAACACUAUACACGGAUUGGAUUUUUGUUACUUGGGCAUCAAAACAAACGAAAGGUAGCCAUAAUGAUUAUGAUUAAUUCACUUCUUACAAUAACAAAGCUCACAAGUCACUGAACAUAGAACCAAUUAAUUAUUAGAGAUGCAUUUCAAUGGUGGUAGAAAUCAGUGAAACUUGAUUGGGACACUUACAAUGCAAAUAUGAUUCCGGUAAUCAAACCAGUCCUUCAUCUGUACACAGCUGCAAGGACAAAACAGAAAUGAAGAAACUGAGCAAUUAUAUAUACACAUAUGUAGGAAACAAUGUAACUCUUGCGAUCAUCUAGAAUCUAGAAGAAAAAUAAAUACCGUGUGCGGCCUUUAUCACUCUUAACAAGUUUUUGAAGUACAUCAAUUUCAAUCAUUGCUGCAUCCCGGUAUUUCUUAAUGCUUCGGAUGAUCUUUAUUGCCACAUAUUCUUUUGUAUCACGAUCCCAACAUUCCAAAACCCGACCAAAUGUGCCUACAACACCAGCAAGUUCACUGAAAUGGCACGAUUUGAUUCACAUAAACAGUUUUUUAUCUCGAACACACCAUGCCACUUGACAGCUAACCUUCACCCAUCUUGCUUAGUAUUUUAUCUGUCGUAACAGAACACACAAUCACGUAAGUUAACAGCUUAAAAUGUUCAUACAGGAUUCUUAUGUCAAUGAAACAAAACCGGAAAAAAAAAAAAAAAAGGAUCAUCUCUGAGGCAAUACUAGUAACAAUGCACGUAUACUAAGUACCAUGUAAUUUAAAGACACGGUAAGUCAAUGUCUUAGUUCGCACAGAACAGAAAACAAUCAAAUAAAUUCCUGAAGUUGUAAUAAACUCACAUCUAGGAGUGAGAUUCUCCCUCAAACUGAAAACAUAAUGACCGUCACGAUCAUCCUCCCUUAAAGGUGGAGACGAAAACCUCCCAUCGCUUCCAUGCCCUUUAACCACAGCUCUUUUAGCCUAUCCCCAAAAAAGUCAAAAACCAAUGUCAGCGUAUCAAAACCUCACAAAGAAUCAAAAUACAUAAAUGAUUGGUCUUUCCUCCACAUUCUAACCCUAACUCUUCUAAUUUCCAAAUGUCAAGGAGUAAUAAGGGAAGAAGAAAAAGAGCAACCUCAGGUUCAUGUGGAGGCUCGUCCCAGGUCAUACGAGGACGUUUUCUGAUUCGUUCUUUAUCCAUCUUCUCGAAUCCGUUAGCUAUCAUCACCGACGUCGAGAGUCGAUCACCGACGCAUCCAGAAGGGAAUCUGAUGCCAAAUCUGCAGCUAAAAGAGGGAAAAUUCUACCAGACGUAGAUAAUAAAAGCACAAGGCGGCGAAUCGAAUCGAGCGAAGGGCGGCGAUUAAUCUUUGCCGAAAUGGUGGGAAGAGAGGAGGAGGAGGAGUAGCUAGGUUUUCGAACGAGUGCAAAGAGAGUGAUUAAAAUCUCAGGCAAUUUUUACCGGACAAAUCCAUUGGGGUCGAUUCGCGACAUCCACCAAUUGCAUUAUUUUUGCACUUUCCUGAGGCGAAACAACUCUACCCGAUGAUGAUGAUGACCCGUAAAUACUGCCCACCCGGCCCAUUUUAUAUGUGUUUAAAUCUGUUACAAUUUUGGCCCAAAAGCCCAUCAUGGAUCUACCACGACAAUGCACCUAUUUUUAUAAAUUUAAAACGUGACAACAACAUCGACGAUCACCAUCACAUAUACAUGCAUGCACCGGAAAAAAGAAGUUCAUAUUAUUCAAUUAAAAAACUUAAAAUGAUUAAUACCGAUUAUACCGAUUAUACCGUAGUGUAUUCAAAUCAUACCAUAGGGGUUUCUUAUUUUACUAUAUAGUUAUUUUUGUUUACUAUAUAAUUACUCUUAUUAGAAUCAUGCAUGCUCGCAAUUAUGAGUUUUAUGACAUGUAUUUCAUUUGUUUAUUAGUACUAGUAUUGUUUUGUUCGUUUCUACCCAAAAAAAAGUAUUGUUUUGUUCGUUUUGUUUUCAACAUUACUACAGUAUUCGAUUCGUGUCAGGACUCAUUUAAUAACAACAACAACAACAACAUAAAGUCAAGAUUUGACUUUUGAGAAUCUCAAUAUUUCAACUAUAAUAUUAAAAUAAUACUACUAGCUAACUAUUACAAAUAAAUAAUUAAUCAUAAGGAGAAAAAAGAACCUUAUCCCUUAUCGUAGAUCUCGAUUAUCAAUUACUUACACCUGAUGUCACCAUUAAAUAGGUGGCAACAAGAAGCCUUCUGCAAAACAAACAACAAGGUUAUAAUUCCAAAGAAAUAAAUUUGUAACACAAACAUUAACAAAGAAAAAGGGUUAACGUAAAUUCAUAAUACAAUACAUUGAAAAAAACUACUAUAAGAUAGUUAUGUAGCUUUCAUGUUACCGUAUUAAAAUAAAAUAAAAAAGUCAACACAAAUCGCUCACCUCCUCCUCCUCAUAAUUAAACAAUUUAGUAUAUAAAAUAUGAAAAAGAUGUAGAGAGAAAUUAAGUAUGCAAGCUUGAAUUGGGAUCAUCAGAGAGAAAAGAAGAAGAAAAAGAGAUGUCGACGACGACUUCGGAGGCGAGGUCACCGUUGCCGUUGUUGUUAAGAAGAGGAAGGUCUUCGACGGCGAUAUCAACGGCAGCUGAAGCGAGAUCGCCGUUAUCGGCACUGCAGUUCAGAAGAAGGUCGAGCAAAGAUGUGAGGAACAUAACAUCGGUUUCGAGCAGUCUCUUGCCUGCGUUUGGUACUGUCAUCGAAGAAGACAACCCUUCUUCCAAACCUUUCAUUGUUCUUCACUUUGAUCGUCGUUACAGGUUCCUACGCAUAUAUAUGCACCCCUUUCAUAUUUUCUCAUUAGCUACUUAUCCUUUUUUUUCUUCUUCUCUUGAAGAUUAGUCUAUAACAUAUAUAAAUGUUUUUAUUUAGUAAUUAUUUGUAAUGAUAUAGAAGUGUGAUUAAUUUGUUGCUUUUUGGUAUUUUUAGGUUAGUUCUUUAAUUGUCUCUAAAUAACAUUAAUUAAAUCAGAUUGUGGGAGUUGUUUUUGGUAAUACUGGUGGGAUAUUCAGCGUGGGCAUCAUUGUUCGAGUUGGCAUUCGAGAAAGCAGCAGAAGGAGCUUUCAUGACCAUUGAUCUCGUCGUUGACUUCUUCUUCGCCGUUGAUAUCAUCCUCACUUUUUUCGUUUCCUACUUGGAUAAUACUACUUACCUCAAUGUCACCGACCACAAGCUUAUCGCCAAACGGUAAUCUUUUAUCAUCAUCAUCACUAACAACAACAUUCAUGAAUUCGUUAAUUCGUUAGUAUUAAAGAAUAUGUGCAUUAUUAUUAAUUUAGGUACUUGAAGAGCGUGGCUUUUGUGAUGGACGUAGCAUCGACGUUACCUAUUCAAUUCAUUUAUAAAACUAUUACCGGAAACGUCGGACGAGGCCAAGCUUUCGGCUUCCUUAAUUUGCUCCGCCUCUGGCGUCUCCGUCGUGUUACUGAACUCUUUAAAAGGUUUUUUUUUUUUAUUUACUCUCUAGUCUCUCUACUAUAUAGUAUUUAUAUCAUUAUAUAACUUGGGAGUCUUGGACAUCAUAUAUAUAAUCCUCCAUAUAUCUUGUUAAUUACAGACUAGAGAAAGACGCAUAUUUCAACUACUUCGUUACAAGAGUCAUUAAACUUCUGUGUGUAAGUUUUUUUUUUUAGUUGAGUUAUCACUAAUACGUAUAGUACCUAAUAAGGUGGUCUAAUGUUAUAAUUUCAUUACCAAAUUAAACUGCCAAUCACUAAAUUAAUUUGAUAUAGGUAACGAUAUUUUGGAUUCAUUUGGCGGGUUGCAUUUUAUACUGGAUAGCCUACCAUUAUCCAACCCCUACAGAGACAUGGAUAGGAUCACAAGUUGAGGAUUUUAAGGAGAGAAGUGUAUGGUUAGGCUACACUUACUCAAUGUACUGGUCCAUUGUCACACUCACUACCGUCGGUUACGGGGAUUUGCAUGCCGUUAAUAACCGUGAGAAGACAUUCAACAUGUUCUACAUGCUUUUCAACAUUGGCCUCACUUCUUACAUCAUCGGUAUCAUGACCAAUCUUGUUGUCCAUGGCGCUAAUCGUACAUUUGCCAUGGUAACCUUUCUUGAAAUCCAAGAAACCUUUAUAUAUGAAACCUUAAAUAAAAUAUAUGUAUAUACAGGGGAGGGGACAUCAGCUCUAAUAAUGCAAUAAUAAUGUUCUUCCUGUUGGACAGAGGAGUGCGAUCAAUCAUAUAUUGCGGUACACGAGCAAGAACAGGUUACCUGAUUCAAUGAGGGAGCAGAUGCUUUCACAUAUGCAGCUCAAGUUCAAGACCGCCGAGUUAAGGCAGGAAGAGGUUCUUCAAGACUUACCAAAGGCUAUAAGGUCAAGCAUUAACCAGCAUCUGUUCCGUUCCGUCAUGGAGCAAGCUUAUCUUUUCAAAGGAUUCCCUGAUAACCUCAUCGUCCAGCUGGUGAUCCAUCGUCAACAGUUUCAUUUCUUUUCUUCUUCUCUCUGUUCCUUGUUAACCAAGACAUUAUUAAUUAUAUGUUGUUGUUUUUGGUAGGUUUCGCAGAUAAAAGCAGAGUAUUUUCCGCCGAAAAUGGAGAUAAUCUUGCAGAAUGAGAUUCCAACAGAUUUCUACAUUAUUGUAUCUGGAGGAGUGGUAUGAUAACCUAGCUUGUCCUUUAUAUGUACGUAUACUCUAUUAUAUAUAUUUGACUUCAGUUGAUUUAAACAAAAUUUGGAAUCACAGGAUAUAAUUUCAUCCAAGGGUAUGAGUCAACAGGUAAAAACUCUUAAGCUAAUUUCAGUGAUUAAGUAAAAAAAACUACAUUAUAAUAAAGUGUUUGAAAGAUUGUUGAAGAGUUGGUCCAUAAAUGGUGAAGGUAUUGACGAAGUUAGGUCCCGGAAGUAUGGCAGGAGAGAUUGGAGUGGUGUUGAACAUACCUCAGCCUUUCACUGUGAGGACACGAGGACUUUCACAAGUUAUCCGAAUCGGUCAUCAUAACUUCAAAGAAAUGGUUCAGUCUGACAAUGACGUCGACGCCAAAAUGAUCAUCACCAAUUUCAUGAAUGUAAGUUCAUCAGAUUUUACAAAACAGUUUGUAGAGCAUCAACAAUGAUUAUAAUAUAAUAUUACCAGAGUAAUUACUAACAUUUUUUUGUUUCUUUUUCUUUCAGUAUCUCAAAGGAUUGAAUGAUGAGUUAAAGAAAGAACUUCCUUUUCUUAGAGAUUUAUUAGCUGACGCAGAUGCUCAGGUUCAAGUUCAGGUAUAACUAAUUUUAUAAACCAAGCCCAUGCAUGCAUGUAUUAAAUAUAUAUAUGCAUAGUCCUCUCUUCACGGUCUUUAAUUGAUUUUGAGGUGAAAUCUCAUUAUUUGGUGACAGGAAACAAUUCAGACAGAGGAAACACCACAAAGUAACGAUGAGGAGAUAGCCACGGUCCCAAGAGAUGAAAAUGAACAGAGUAUGAAGACAACUUUUGUAGAUUUUGAACUAUGAUUCUUAUGUAUAUAUAUAUAGACCCCUUAAAAAAAAAAUAUUGUUAUUUGAUUGCAGAAGAAGAGAGACGAAGUGAGGGAGUUCCCAAAAGAGUGAUAAUUCAUGGAAAACGUCCUAAUCAAGAUAACAACAACAAUGGUGAUUCCAACGGUAGACUUAUCAUUUUGCCUGAUUCUAUCCAACUUCUGUUCGACUUAGCUGGUCAGUUUCACUCUUUCACUACUUAUGUGUUACUUUGCUUCUCUUUAUUAUUUAGAUAUAUUUACAUAUAUGAAUCCUGUGAGAGAAUUAACUAAACAAAAAGUGACCGUCCAUUUAAAUGUUUCUUUAUCGUAUACAAAGUACUCGCACACAUGUUGUCAUAUAAUAUAAAACUCGAUCGGUUUAUUGGUGGAUGCAGAGAAGAAGUUGGGGAAACGAGGAAGCACGAUUACCAUGGCAGACGGUGCACAUGUUGAACAAAUUGAUGCCCUUCGAGAAAACGAUCAUUUAUAUAUUUUCUAAUUCGUUUUCAAAUAUAUAUAUAUAUAUAUAAAUAUCACAAUGAUCACCUCCCACACAUACAUACUAAUAAUGAUAUAGAAAAACAAUAUUUUUGUCACCGUUAACGACUUAACGUGCUUAUGAAAAAAGCCAAGUUAGACAUGCAAAUAUAAGGUGAACAUCAAUCGAAUGUCUAGUUCCAUUAUCUUUUUCACAUCUUGAACUCGAUAUUUUGUUCCAUUGAAGAUUGCAUUUGCAUACAACGUACACAAGUGUUACAGUGUUGUAUACAUUUCAGUAUUUUCAUCUUAUAUUUGCAUAUCUAACAAGAAAGGUUUGAAAUGAUAAAAAGAAAAUAACAAUUAUUUGAUAUUUUACACUGCAUUGUACAUCAAAAAGAUUUAUUUGUCCCUUCGGCAACAACCAGCAAAAGAAAAAUAUUUGAAAGGAAAUUCUUAGUUCGAACUCAAAUAAAACAUGAGAAGGAAAAGUAACCAUACAAAAUGGAUAAGCUAAAGCUAUAUAAGACUCUUUUGUAUCUUUAUAGGGGGAAGGAAAAGUGGAGACUAUUAUCUAAGUACACAUUUCGAAUGAAGUGAAACUUCUCAAGCAGCCAUAAGAACGAUGCCCUUUCCCCUUCUGCUAUGCUUUUCUACCGUAAAAUUCUGAACAUGACACAGAUGGGAGGAGAUGACAUUUAGAGAAACUUUUGUACGGACUCCUAGAAAUCAGAGGAUCAGUUCAUUUUGAGUUGGAUUUGGCGAUGGACUUGCACGAGGAACUCCACAUAUGAUGGGCCGCUUGCUGUCCUAUCCUCUACCAUAUACGAGAGAAACAACAUUCCUGAAUAGUACCAAAAAUCAGAACAACAAAUCAGCAUCUACAAAUUUUUAUGAAAUCAGCAAUACCAAGCAUGUUCAUGAAUUCCAAAUAUAUAUUGUUUAUGUAACUCCUUAUGCAUGAACAAGGUCUUUUCCAUAGAGAUUAGAUAAUUCUAUAUGUGGAAUAUGUCAGGUGGUUAAGACAAGACCACGAAACUAGACAUUGGUACUAUCUGCAGACAGGAGCUAUGCUGUUACUAUUAGUGUAAGACUGAUCAUUUCACAAGCAGGAAAAGAUAAAUAACAUGUAGCCUCUGUAGUUAGUGCUAAGAGUCUUUGAAUUACUCACCUGAUGAAUCUCCCUUCUUGCACAAUUUUAUUCUGUGUAGAUAAACCAUAAAGACGGAAGUAUUAGUUGAAAAAUAUCCAGUAAGGAGACAAAAAGACGCAUAGUGAGAAUUUUGCUAGAUACCUUAAGUAAGAACAUCUUUGCCUCCUUAUUUCAUUCACCGCAUCAUUAAACUUCUUUGAUAACUGAUUAUCAUACUGCUGCAGCACAUACUGUAAUGAAAAGUUAUCAUUUCUUAGAAGGCUUCUAAAAUACCAGAAAAUAUAUUUCUUCUUUCAUGGUUUCGAUAAUAUGAUAGGUAAAUAUGAUGAGACGAUCACAAAAGUCACAACUGGAUCAUGCAAUAAAAUAGUAUAAAUGCCAGAUUUUGUUGCUACUUAAUCAUCCUACAAUUGCAUGAGUAUUACCUGGUUAGGAAUUUCAGCAGCUGAAGGAACAGCAAAAAGUUUCUGCAGGAUAUCGGAGUCCACAGAUUCGCCAACAUAUAGUAGACCAUCUUCACCAUUCUCAAGAAAAUAGACUCCCUCAUUGCUAAUGUGUUCACUUGACAAUGGGAUUGGAGGAGGAAGGACCUCUCCUUCAUUGUCCUGAUAAAUUAGAAAGCAAGAAUAAUCAAAACUUUUACAAGCUGCAUAUAUAUUAUGUCUUCAGAGAGAUAUGUUAAAGAAAAGUAGCCCAAUCAUACCUUCACAUCAAGGUCAUGCACAGAAAUCAUCCUGGGAUAAACCAAUGGGAUUGCCAACGGAGUAGAAAGGCAAGACACAUAGUUGAUCCAGAAUGAUCGAUCAUCAACUCUCCCAUCCGUUCUUAAACCCACACUUUUGGUCAAUGCUGAAGGAAGACCCAUGUAAAAAGGAAAUAACAUCAAAUCAAAAUUUUCUUGUCUAUUACUCCUGUCCUAAGAAGCUAUAUGAUCCUGAAAAGCCUAUGCGAUAUGUUGCAUUUCACACUCAGCAGAUAUAAAAGAAAGAAAAAGAGAUAGCUGAGUAAGACAAUCAGUACUUGUAAUUCACACAGAAUGACAGCACAUAUUUCCAUACAUCUAAAGAAGUUAAGGUAUGUAACUUACUUGGUAUGGUAGGUACCAAAUAUACUACAAGAUCUUACCGCAGCUACAUAUAACUACCGCAGAAAACGAAAACAACCGUCACUUAAUAUCUCUUAAACGGUAGCACACAUAGCAGGUGCAUACACAAUAUAUGAUCACUUCUAAUUCAAGAGAAGGGAAGUAAAGCAAUUGCACACAAGAGAACCUGAAGUUGUAUGAAGUUGUAUAAAACUAACUAGGAUAAAAGUAACUAGGAAAUACCAAGAGUAUAUAAUGGAAAAAGCUUGAGCGCCUCAGGAAGAAUAAGUUGUCCAGUUGACGUCACUGUAGCACAAAAUUUACGGUAGGCAUAGAGUGCAUUGAUGCAACUAUUAGUUGCUUGCUCCUUUACCAAUGGAAGUGCCUUUGAAGGAAUUUCAUUUGCCGCUGCAUAAAUGAUAACAAAACAGAUAUUGUUACAUAAUCAUAACACCGAUAACAGUAUAAUCAGUACCGAAAACAGUGACCUACCUUGUUUCAGCAUACAAGCAAACUGAGAAUCUAGGUCAGCUGCGCGAAACAAAUUACUGAGCAUGUUCGUACAAGAAAGUGAUAAUGUGGUAACCCUGAUUCUUCUUUCUCCAUAUAUGGUAGUAUACAGAAGGGCGCACUGUAAAAACACAGAACAAACAUAGAAUAACAUCAUUUGAAAUGUAACAGACUACCAACCUUUUUCCGUAAGUACAAGAAUACAAAAAAUACCUGGAAAGCACAUUCAGCUCCAUCUUGUAGUUUGUCAUCAUGCUUUAACGUCACCAUUAUAGCUUUGUCACAGUCAAUCUGCAUGGGCAAUCAAGAGUAAACGGAGUAUAUACCAUAGUGCAUCUCCUUGUAAACUUGUAGAAAAAACACUAUGUAUUUUCCUAUUUACAAACAUUGUGUUAACUUAAACAGCAUAGCACUUGAAUCUUAUCUUUCCAUAAUUCCAGACUCAAGAACUUUCAUAAAGGAUCACAUACAGAUAUAUUGUUUCAUUGAUAAGGACAGCCAAUCAUUAGACACAUACAAUACUAUCUUAAACUAAUUAUAAAAAGAUUAAUAAGGAUCCACUCACCGCUGGGAGAUCAAUGUCAGUUGGAAUGCGUUUGCAGAAAUUCCCUGAGUAUUCUUGCACUUGAAUACCCUACAAUUAUUGGAAACGGUGGUUUACAGAAAGCUAAUUAAGAUGGAGUUAACAGAGUAACACAUGAAGCGCAAAAACAUACCUGGCUGCAUCUGACUCGCAUGACAGCCUCAAAACCCUGUGGCCUAGUAAUAUUCCAUUUAAGAUCAUUGUAAAGCUUGGGAGGAUCUGAGAGAGCUGAGAAAGGGUAAUAACAAUACACCUGGAAAAACAAGUUUCCAACAGAAAGUUAAAGUUCGGCAAAACCUAGACAUCAAGCAAGACUUUCACAGACUACUGUCAAUUAGGAUUGUAAAGUUGCCAGAAGAAAAUAAGGCAUGGGCUUCCAUAGGAAAAAUGCAUUCAACUGACAGAGACGAGAAAGACUCUGUCAACACGAAUUUGAAUCUCUAUUUUAACUGUGAUAGUAACAACUUAACAUUACGAAAAAUAAUAUGAAAUAUGUAAAAGAAAUUUUUUUAACAAUCAGAAAGGAUAAGGAAUUUUGGAAUCACCUGUCCGCCAGUAGUUCUUGGAAUGACGGAUAUUGAAGCCAUGUCAACAUAGGCCUGAGUUGUGAUAAAUAUAUCUACACAGACCUGAGAGAUUUAUGGAUGGCUUAGAUAGGGAAGUAAUAUUGCCAUUAAGAGAGAAUGAAACACUGUAGAUUCUUGAUAAGCAGACGGUAACAUUAUAAGUUAAAUUCAAACAUAUAUCCUACGUAUACCUGGUACUCAGCAAGUUCAAUAGCCAUGGUCUUUAGAAUUUUGUCUGCUGGCUGUAGUAAUUUAUGGGCCUCCUGAUAUAAAAAUUACAGGAAUUCAAUAUUUUGCUAUGAACAUCUACAUUCUCUGACACAGAAAAAAGCAUGUUUACCUUUUCACCAGCAGACAUGUUAGCUCUCCCUUCAGCCUCUCUAGAAGAAAGUGCUCCAACACCAACAGAACACAAAUCUAUGGGAAAGAGUGUAAUCAUAUCAGCUUAAGUUAUAGAGGUACUGAGCGGUAAGAUGUAUUAUGAAUAGUGAGCGUUGGUGCUUCUAAUAAAUAUAUGAUUUUCAAUGUGCAUAUAUGGAUUCUAAGUUAUUGGAUGCACAUGCUUCAAUAUACCCUAAUAUAUAAAAUACCGAAACAGAGUGAGCAUCAUACUUGAUUGAAAUACCAUAAGCUUCCCUCCUUUGCUCUUCAUCGCCAAGAAAGCAGCCUACAGAAAUGGAGUUGUAAGACAUGAAAUUCAAACACAUGCGGAGAAUAGUAGAUAUUAAUAUAUUAUCCUCAGCAUUUUUUCCCCAAAAAAAGGAGCAAUGGUCCAUUAGAGAUGAUCUCAGCACAAAAAAAAAACAUGGGUUCUUGGCAAAACCGCCCAAUUAACCUGAAACGUCACUUCACUGAUUGCUUUUAACCAGAUUAUAAACUUUAUCUUUUUACGGCAUGCAAUGAUGAUUAAAAUUUGACAAAGCUCAAAUGCUUACUAAACAACGAAUUCAUGAAAUCGAAGGCCCUCAAAUUUCUACAUUACUACCAAUCAGGCAUGCAGGUUAAGCAUAUGCAUCUUCAGAAAUUUCAUACCUUAACUGCUGCACCAAAAGCAGAUUCAGGAGUUUUACUUUCCUGAAACAUCGUUGGGAUACUAUCCAGCAAAAGCUCCAGGUGUUGACGGCACUGAAUUCCAACAAAAUACAAUAAAUUCAAAAAAUGGGAAAGAAAUUACAAUAACCAACUUUAAGAAUAGCAGCCAGCAUACACGACAUAUUGAAAAACAAGAAUAAAACUAAUCAGGGUGUGCCCAUAUAGAAAAAAAUGGCCCAGAACUGACCUCAGAUAGCUGAACAAUGACAUCUGUCUCUAAAGGUGUAUAAACAUCUUGCACAUCAGGGACAAUGAGCAUCAAUGGCUGCACGUAAGGGGGGAAAAUCAAUUUCACAGGCGGCAGUAAUCAGCUGAUUUCAGGAAGAGAAAGAGACAGCACCCAUUCCGGAUAUCAUAGCAUCACAGGGAUGCAGAGUACAACUCUUAAUUGUAAAUCACUUUAUGACAUUAUAAGAGGAUACAUAAAACUAAUUGUGCCAUUGCAAUAACUUUCAAGUAAAGCAACACAUACAUAAUACAUCUGCUGAGCCUGUAGCCCAGUGACCCAGAAAACGACCAUUUAAUUAGGAUCCGGAGAGAACAAAUCUCUCUUUUUUCCACUAAACAAUAACAAAAGAAGGACUAGUGUAAAAGAAUUACCUGCUGCAGUGCACGUUUCAAAUUAUAGAAGUGGAUUGUUGAGUCAAAUGUAGCAAUUCCAACAAAUGUCCUAGGACCUUCCUGCAAACGAAAAUUAUAAAAUAAAAAUUGAUUAAUGACUAAGGCAAAAUAAAAAUUAUAAAAUCACUGGUAACAUAACCAUACCCUAACGAAAGUUCACAGUCUCAUUAUAAAUAAGGACACACACUAACAGAUAUGCAGCAGAAGCUACCUUCUAAAUCAUUAAGGUAUGAACACCUUAGUAUGCAAAAGGCCUACUAAGGUGUUACUUAAUACGCCCAGAUACAAGUAACAAAUCAAAUACAAAUCAUCACUAAAGAACCCCAGAACGUUUGAAUAGUGUUGCUUAAUUUUUGAUACUACCACCAAAACAGUAAAAACUACAUACACAUGAUAGCCAAAUAUUCAGAGCAGAGUAGAUAUCAUUGACUGUUUUGAAAUGUUGGAAAUGGUGACACAACUUACAGGAAGGUCUGAAAGUACUUGCUGAAUUGCAUUGCAAGCAGCUGCAGUAGCACCUGUUUGUAUAGCAUUCAUUGAGACAUCAAUGAGGAAAAAAUAUACUGCUGGCAUUGGAUCCCGUACCUAAUGAAAAGAAAAAAAUGAUCUUAAUUUCCAUUCAUUCCCAACAUGUCUGAUCAUCAAUUUCUCCCAAAAGGAUGUUAAUAACAAUAUGUUAGCUAGAAAGGUAAUUUAGGUGGUGCUUUACUAGAUCAACAAUACAGUAUGUACAGUAAUUAUCAUUUUCCACCAUAGUAAUUUUUCGGGAAAACACAAAAUCAGAGGACAGAACAUUUCGUCUAAUACAAUGGUAGAUUCCAGACCGCAUGAAACAAAUUGACAACUUUGGAAGCAAAACCAAACAAUUUUACAUUUUUAACUAGAAAAUGUCACAAACUAACCAUGUAUUCUUUUGUAGCAACAAACUCAACAGUUCCCCUACACAGCUCAGGUCUUUCAUCAACAUCCCUACGCCUACCAUCUGGACCCAGAUUACAGUGAUAUUCACGGGGAGUCUCAUCAGUGUAUCCUGUGCAAAAGAAAUUUGAUGAGGAAACGGAUCACAGAACCUUUCACAUUAUUUGACUCCCACAAGAUAACUAAAAUAACAAUAUAUAAGUCUCUCUUAAACAAAAUGAUGUCGCCAUCUUCCACAAUCAGUUGAAUCCAGAUUGGAAGAAGAAAUCUUACAAUCCAGGAAGGUAAAGCACAAAACUGUUAGUCUAUGCUUCUAACUUAGAAUACUCAAUUACGUUAUUACUUGAUACAUACUAUUGCAAUUACGUAGCUAUAACUUCAGAUAAUGUGGCUUGCAUAAGUGAAAACAGUAAUAACAUUUACCACAGAAAUUACAGAUGAACUUCCUUCCCUGGUCAAUGAACUUCAUGAAAGGAUUUAUGUAACCCUUACAGCGUGAACAUCGUACAGGUCCACCCUCACCAAAGUCCACAACCUGCACCAUAGUACAGAUCAAUGUUACCAGGAAUUGCUUCUUUUGAAGAUGUAAAUGAAACUUAUAUUCAAAACAACAAUUUAUAUGCUUCACAAAGAACUCCAAAAUACUGGUACAUGCGAUCAAUAAGAGCAAGGGGUAAUGCAAAUACUAAUAGGAAUAGCAUAGAAACUGAAUGUCCACAUGCUUUGUUUGGUGAGAGGAGGCUUACUUGUAUAGGCUCUUCAGAUGGAUGAGAAAGCGCCAGCGGUUGAACCAUCAACGCCAGUUGCAUUCCAGAUGUAGAUAGAAGAUCAACUGUACAUGGGAUCUAUUACGAAAAAUGGAAAAAGAAACGUAUCAAGUUCCCAAGGAACACAAUGGAAAAAAUAAUAAACUCACACACAUCCCACCACUAGAUAAGAUAUGCUUCAUUGUUACCUGAUUGAUCGUGCACCUCAUGUAACGCGGACUACAAUUUCCGGUGUCUCGAACAACAUAAUCACUAGUAGCAGGCUUCAAAAAUAGAAGAAAAAAAUCAGGGGAAAGAUAUGGCAGUACGAAAAAACUCACAUACAAAAGAUAUGACAUCUCAGACAAAUAUUCAAAUUGAAAUUUGAUCAGGUAUACACACCGGGGGAGGAUUAGCCUGAUUACUCUGACGUGUUUCAAAGACUGUUGGGCUGGAGCUUGAACCUGGCCUUGGGAUUUGAUUAGGAUCAAUUCUUGCGGGUCCAGGAACAGAGGCACCAGGUUGGCCCAUGGCAGUGGGUAUGUUGGUCAUCGACUGAUUUGGCAAAGGCCCCAUUCCAUAUCUUGGUGGUUGCAUUGGGCCAGGAAAGCCUAGAGGUGGGGCAACCUACCAACAUUCAAAUUUGAAGACCAUCAGAAUCUGCCACACAAAGGAGAUACAUCAAGUGAAAAUAUUUUGCUUAACAAUGAAUCAGAGAGCCACAAGCUAAAGCACUACAUAAGUUGUUUUUCAAUUGAUCACAAGACAGAAUCCUAACAGUGCCAGUUCAAAUCUUUCACGGUCAAAAUGUUACAAAGAUCGGUCAACUAGUAUGGUUCCUGUGUGAAUGAAUAUAAAUACACAUCUACAUUAAUUCACAGUAGCAUAUGUUUUCAUCAUUCGGUACAAAGAAAUCAGAAAAGUUACAUGACAAGAACAUAUAUCAUAACUGUAUCUGCACAUACCUGUGAUGAUGGUGGACCAUAAGGCAAGCCUGAUACCGCUGGUCUGCCAUGAGGGGCUCCAGGAAAGGUUGCUGGUGGCGGCAUUGAAGGGGGAGUAGACGGAGUUAAUUGCGAAUUUCCAGAACGAGGAUGUGCACCUAGUGGCUGUGGAGGAGGCCGAGCGAAAGGUGCUGAAGGAGGCUGCGCAUAGGGUGCCUGUGGAGUUGUAACAGCAGCACCGGGGAACUGGGUUCCCCUCGGAAAUCCGCCUGAACCAGCCAUUUGAUGCCCAUUACUGACUGGACCACCAAGCAUGCCCGAGGGAGGCAUAGACAUGCCAGAUCCGACAGGUGGAGGUGAACCAAAUGCCAUUGGGCGAGCUCCCGGAGGAGGACCUGCAGCUACAUUACCUGAUGGACCAAAAGCUGUAAAACCACUAGAAGAGGCAAUAGGCUGCGCCACAGGUCCUCCAGGCAUUGACGGUCUAGAGCCAAAUGGUGGCUGACUAGGAGGCGGACCAGUGGGUCUGUUCAAGGGUGUGUUUGACUGAAAUCCAGCUGGUUGUGAUACGGGAGGGGGACCACCAGGUCUUGCCAUCCCAGGAGGAGGUCCAGGCCGGGACAUCGGUGAAGGCCCAUGUUGCGGAACUCCAUAAGAAGGGGAUUGUUGAGGGAAAGGUUGUGGUGACUGACCAAACGGAGGGGGUGGUCUAGGACCUGAACCAGGCAUCAUCGGAGGUGGUCGAUUCAAGCUCAAAUUCUGCAUAUUGCCAGCUAAAGCAUUUGAGUUCCCCGGGUAGAAAUUUGGUGGCCUGGGAUUCUGCUGGUUGUUGGGUCUAGGUGCCCCUGGAGGCACAGGAGCAACCAUGCUUUGAUACCAGAUGGAGAUCAAAUCCUAAACCUUGCUCAACAAUCUAGAGUUUCCAGUAUGUCGCCAAAAUCUACAGAUCCAAAUGAUCAAAUCAGCAAUUGGAACAACUAAAGAAAUUGAAGUAACAAUUCACUGAUACAAAACAACAAUUAUCCGACCAAUCACAGAGACAAGGUGGCAGUAACAACACAAACUUAGUGUUGGAAGCAGUAAAUACAAUAUAAGACAAGAACCAGCUUUUUUCUUCUUCUUUAGAUCAUACAGACCCCAUCAAGGACCAUAAACAAAGGGGACGAAUCAAGAAAAGAAACUAAUAAAUCAGGAAACCAAAAUCUGAUCUCAAGGUAUAAAAACAAAACAAAACAAAAAAAGCAAGAACCUCUCAAAAGGGUCUAUCGAGAAAAUGGCAAUUUUCGCAAUUUCAAAUACACGUACCCGAAAUUGAGCUAAACCUUGGAAAUUCUUCAGAUUUGGAUGAUAGCGAUCCAAAAGUAAUAAUACAAAGCUCUCAGAUCUAGGGACAGAGUGAGAAAGAGAGACACAGCGACGGCGGUUAACGGCGUCGUUGUGGUGUCACAGGGGAUUCAGACGACAAAUGAAAAUAUAACAAUUGUUGGUCCGUAGAAGACAGAAAAUUCAACAAAAUAAAAGGGUACAAGUAUAAAAAGGUGGAAAUUACCGAAUCAAAAGAUUUUAUUUUUUUAAUUGUCCGUUUCAAAACACACGGGUCUGUAAAGUACAGUGUCUCUCUGUAGUAAAAACCAGGUUAUAAACACAUCUUCUUCUUCUGGUCACAGUUUGGUUCAGUCGACCAAAAAAAGUUUAUGCUUAUUUAAUAACUAUUUUUUAAAAACAUGUUUCAUAUGAAUUAUUAUUUCAAUACAGUACAUGAAUUUGUCAUAUUUAGUUUUGUAAUUGUAAUUUAUUAUUUAUAAAGUAUUUAUUUUGUUUUUUGUUUCCCGUUUACAACUUACACAUGCAAAUUAUAAGAUUCCAUGGCCAUUAGAAUAAGCUAUGUAGAUAAAUACAUAAGAGUUAUAAUAUUUUGGUUACAAGUAGAUAUCUUUCCACCUCAAUGUACAUUUGAUAAAAAGCAACAGCGGAUGAUGUCAGGAAACCUCUGUACCUCUCAUUCAAUUUCCAUAAAAAUUAUCCCAACUUUAGAAAUUUUCUGAAUCAAGCUCUCUCUCAUUCAAAGGGAUUGCCUCUGGAAAUAUAAGCAUUUGGGUUUGCAGAAGGAUAUCCAUUGUUUGCUUGAUGAAACGUAAAAGUGUUUCCUUCAGUACUACUGAGGCAUACAAAAUCAAUUUAGUUUCAAGAACCAUACAGUCCAUUCAAAGAACACUACAAAUAGUAAUGUACAAUACCUGAAAGAUUGGGACAUAUUCACAUGUGAUUGCUGCCCCAUUAGUCCACCUAUUUUUACCAAGACCCAACUCUUAGAAUACAGUCCAACCAAUAGAGCUGUUAUAUUACAGAAAUUAUCAUCUCACCAGGGGAAAUAUUGGAUGCAAGAGCUGGAGAGUUUGGGGAUAAAGGGGCUGUAUGAAAAGGUGACUGAGAGGUCAUCAGUCCAAUGGAACCUGCAGCUGGACUUGAAGUAUCUGCAUACCCUAUUGGAGCUGACACGUGAGGUAAGCCUCCUCCUUGCACAUAUCCCAUAGAAGGAAACUGUAAAAGAUAAUAUUAAAGAGAAAGGAGCUGAGUAUUUACAUUUUCAUCAAAUCUAGUAACAGAAAUUUAACUCUAGAUUUCUUACUUGUUGUAUUUGGUUUGGAGCUGUGUCAUCAUAGCUAAGAUCAAAGGGAUUUGCUGCUUUUGCUGUAUAUGGUAAGGCUCCCACAGCCUGCCAAGAAUAGGAUAUAAGCAUAUAUAAAACCAGAUGUUGUAACUAUCAAACCGAACUAAUAGGUCAAUGGAAACUAUACCAUAGGAUAUUGAUAAUAUUGCAUGCCAUAUCCCAUGCUAUGAUGUUGACCAUGAGCUUGCUGUGGGGCAAAGGAGAAGCCUCCAGUGAAAAGGUCCUGCCAAUAGUUAGAUUCUUAUGAUCGGAGAUUCCCAGAGGUGUGUCCAAAUUUCUCUUACAAAAGAAAGGUUUGUUACCUCAGGAAGCGCCUCUCUUACGCUAGAGUGUGUCUCAUCUUGAUAUUGUUGCUCAUAUCCACCGCCAUGAGCAUAAUUUGUGAUAGCCAGUGUUGAUUGUUCGGUAGUGCUAUCUGAUUGUUCCUUAGGUGAUAUAGAUCCAACAUGUGUCAGCAAAACGUUAGCACGUGAAGAAAAAAGAUUAGUUUUCUGGAAAAAAAUUGAUUCUAUUUAAAACUCUGUUUAUGAUCCGGUUUGCCUUCAUUCAACCAGUCUAGUGAUUUUGGAAAACUUUGAAAAAUUUACCGCAGACACCAACCUGGUUAUUUGUAGCUACACUUGGUGUAGCCGUCUCUUUUGUAACCAAGUUAUCAGCAGCAACUGGAAACAGUGGACUUGGAGAAGCAGCAUGAGCAUGCGCAAUUGUAGGUGAUGCGACAAAAGAGGUAACACUGUCUGGUGUUAUUGGCAUUGUCUGUAUCCCAAAGUUCGCUGCAGGAUAAUUGUCUACAGAAACAGUAGAGGAAAUAUCACUAGUGCUACAUUGUUCAGAUUUGUUUGUUCCAGGGACAACAGAAGGAACAGAGAGUCCAAACAACAAAGCCUCCAAAGAAUUAGGAGCUGGCCCUUCAGUGGUCUUAAGAGAUGCAGAUGGUUCUGAAACUGGUUCAUCAUCGAUUAAACUUCUAGGACUCUCCAUUUUCUCUGUCAUCUGCAAUAAUGCAACUUGUUAACUGUAUAGAUAAAGUGCAUAAAACACAACGAAAUACAAAACCUGAGAAACAGAUAUAAUAGUAGAUUACCUGAUUAUUCACCGGAUCCUUCUUUUUUUCAAUUUUUGCAACAUUGCUUACGCGCAACCGAGGAGCACUGUCCCCUAAGAGUUCGCUGGUAUGUCGUACAAUGGGAAAUCGUGGCAUGUCUUUGUUACUUGAGAGGUCAAGAGAUUUGGAGCUUCCUCUUGACUCCUUACGUGCAUCAUAUCUCUUAACACUUCCAUCAUCUCUAAACCUAUCAUCAACAAUCUCAAAGCGAAUAGGACUCUUUGGUAAACCUCUAGAUCUUGGAUUAUGCGUAGCAUGUUGUUGUCUGUGGUUCUUGUCAUCAAAAUAAAACUUGAGAGAUUCACUGCCACUUCUCCCAACAGCACUAGAUCUUUCAGUUUCAGAUUUAUCCACAGAGUGUAAACUUCUUGAUCCAAGAGAAUUUGCACUGGCCUUCUUGCUUUCCCUGUAAUCUUCUACGACAGCCUGAAAGGAAACACCACAAAUUUGCAAGAAAAAAAGAAGAAACUAGAAAAAUGUGUUAAGACUAAAGAGGAACAUCCUCAACAAUGUAACAUAGAAUAAUGUCCCAAAAAUUAGUUGGCACCCUUAGCUUCAGGAUUGUAAUGACGUAAGAAUGUAAAGCAGUUUACCGAUUUCUGGCGUGAGUCAUUACUCUCACUACAGUAUCUUUUGUCAACAUAAACAUUCCUGAUGAAAUCUCGGAGCUUGAAAAUAUUACUGAAAAAGAAGCAAGAAAAAUUUGAGGUUAAAUUUAGUUUUGCUACUUUUAGUGUUAACUCUACAGAGAUUAAUAAAUGUCCAAGAACCUGCCAUCGGGGUAACCAUCACGGUGCGUAUCCCAUUCUUUAAAAUAAAUUUGUCUGGCUCGCUGCAAAGAAAAAGCAAAGGGUUAACACAGAAACUGGGGAUGAUUAACACAAAAUGAGCAGUUCAAUUAUCAAACCUCGUUUCCUCCUGCACGAAGUGCACCAACUUCAUCUGCUGUGAACUUGGCCAUUGAUACAGAUUUCACACGAUGAGUAAAUUCUCGACUGGACAUACACAAAAAGAAAAGGAUCCUUACACAAAAUGAAUUUGGAUCAACACUUUCAAGCUCCAGGCUUGUCCUUGGAUUGAUAGAGGAAUCAAGAGCAAAAGACUUACUGGAUUCCACUGCAAUUUGUGCAGACAAAAGUCCAGAAUGUUGAACAGACAUAUUGUGGACCCUGCAAGAUUCAGAUGUUGAUAUAUAGAACAGAACUACAAUGAGCCUUAUUUAUUUUUGAGCUAUUCAAAAAAGACUGCUUGAAGAUGAUCAUUGGCCAACAAACUAAUGCAUUCAGCUAAAAAUAUCGUACCAGACUAUUGCAAUUAAUGCACCUCCGGUUCUCGGGAAGCUUUAAUAAACUCCGGACAGCCUUUUCGAUUCGUUCGUCUUCCUUAAUUCUGCUCCCCAUUCUUGGAGAAAUGCCUCCCUCAGCAAGAAAAUUCAAUAUCUCAAAUGAGAAAUCCGAUCAAAGUGCCAUCAUUACCUGAGAAAACUGAGCAUUAUCUUAAUUCUUAAGCCAACAUCAUUGAGGUUAUUCUAAGGACUCAUAUAAAACGCGAGAGAAACAUGGUAAAUUUCAAGCUUGAAAAGAAACAAAAGAGAGAAGAGAAAAACCUUGGAGAAAAGAAGAAGAAGAGGAAACAGCCGAAAAAAAGAAUGGAGGAGGAAAGAAGAGAAAGAAGCUCUCUCAGGCUUGUCCAGAGAGAUGACAAAAAAAAAAAAAAUAGAUGGAUGAGGCCAGCAAAGGAAUGAGACAUCAUCCGACAAAACUGCUACCUGAAAGAUUUCCCGCCGUUGAAAUUUCUCCCACCACCUUUCCUUCUCUCAUUUUAGUUAAGCUUCUUUCAUUUCAUCCCAAAAAAUUUUACAAGUUUUGACAAAAAAAAAAAAAAAACAAAUACCAUUUUCGAACGAGUAUUGACAAAUGCGAGUUGUGUAGCUAUUUCUUGUAUGAACUAUAUAAAGACUAAAAUGGAUGGCAAGUGUUGCAAUUUGGCCUUGUUUCCAUAUUUUUCCAAACAUUUGAUCUUAACUAAAAAUGUAAGAGAAAGCAGAGAAAGAGAGAUGUAGAAGAAGAGAACCGCAAAAUACUUGCAGCAGAAGAAUCAUUUUGCUCAAACUAAAUCUCUCUACCAAAAGAAGCUAAUAAACCAAAUUACUUACAAUCUCCUCUUUCUUUUUUUUUUUUUUUCUUUCCUUUUUUUUUUUGUUUUUUUUUUCUGUUUAACCAUCUCCUCAUUUUUGUCUCUCUUAACUACUAAGAACGUUCCCAGCCCAUGGGUACAUGAGAUCAAGUUUCCGAGUCCCAGUUCGGUGUUAUUGCUGCAUCAAAAUAUAGCUUACUUAAAGCGGAGGGAGGCAAAUUUCUGUACAGUAGAGCUCAUCUGGGUCGUAUUUAAUUUGUGUCAAGAGCAACUCGUGACGAAUGACGAAUCCCUCUCUCUCUCUCUCUCCUUUUGCUCAAGAGGUGACAAAACCCAGACUAACAGAGGUGGUAUCUAUCAACUCAUCCUUCGCUUGAGCUUUCUAACCCAUUGUUGCUUAGGUCCACAGAAGCAGCUUUAACUGCCUCUGCACACAUGAGAGCCGCUGCAGCUUUCUGGAUCGCUAGAUCUGCUUUGUAUCGCAAAUUCUCUGCUCUUUCUCGCUUGAGUUUUGCCAUAGCAUAUGCACGCCUUGCAGCAGCAGCUGCAUCUCGCAGUUUGUACUCAUCAAUGUCUGUAUUAUUCUGUAAUUCUUCCACAUCAAGACGCUGAGAUCCGUUGGAGUAACAGAGAUGAUUGGAACUGGGCCAUUCAGAAUAGCCUGCAUCCCAUCGUUCACUAGUGUUCCUCUUCCCAUUGGUUCUUUGCAACUUGUUUUGGUGAUUCCUAUGAUAUCCAUUUCCACUGCUCGAGAAAUAUCCCAUGCCUAGGUCACGGGGAGAAUAUGUUCCCGGAAAUACAGGAUGCAUAGGAAAUUCAUUCAAGUGCUCAUAGCUUUGAUUUGAAUAUAUACAUCUCUCAUCUCUAGCGGCAAAACCAACAGAUCUUCUUCCUGCUAGAGAAAUGGAUAAGUUGGAUUAAACACAGACUUCAUAUAUAUAAAUCAGAAUCAAUAGAGGAUUUAUAGAAACUCAAGAAGGUAAAAGUGAGUUACCGGACGAAUUAUAGACAUCAUAAUCUCCCAAAGCAGAACUAUGCUGGGCAUAAACCGAGAGUUUCUUCUGUGACCUGUGUUUUGUUCCCCUGUGUUUGACUUCCAAACCUCGAGGCUUAAAACAGAAAGCAAACAUCGCUGGCUUCUCAAUAGGUGACUGUUUCUUCUGUGAUCCACAGGUAUUUGGUGUGUUUGCUGUGCUCAUAGCCAACUCCCAGUCUUUGAGCUCUCGUUGGUAUUUUUCCCACAGAGGUGGCUGAAUUGCAGGGGUAGAAAAACAAGUGUUUAUGUUAGACACAAUUAAAAAUAUACUGCAGCAGCGUAACUAUAAUUUUUGGACUUUCAGACUUCCUCGAGCAAAGCAAACUACACUGUAGCUACAAACAGACACACUUUUUCCCCUAGUAGACGUAUCAUUUUCCCAUAUAACACCCAAUGAAUUAUAAAAUAUCCUGAAAAGCACACUACGUACUUAAGACAUAGCCAUGCAGAUCUUUAAAUCUCAAGUCAAACAUGAAAGAAAAGACAAUCAAAUAAAUAAAUAAAGGUAAGAAGGAAUCAGAGAUUAUACCUGAAGAUGCCUGAUUAAUGGCAUUCCCUUUCUCUGCCUCUUUGUUCUCCAAAACUCAUAUAUUGUUUCCAUUGCUUCCAAGGAUCCAACUCCAGCCAAUAAUUCUUGAAUUUCAUCUAAGGUAAAGUGAUCACGCUGCUUUACAUAUGAAGCCUUCUCAAACAUGUCCAUAGCCUUCUCAAACAUGUCCUCAGUGAUAUCACAAGAGCCACUAUUCUCAGCUUCCGAACAUUCACGAAUUCUCAAAAGGCACUGCUCAUCAUCGCUGUCCAUGUCAUACAAAACACGUGAAGGGUCUAAUGCCAUCUCAAUAUCAGUUUCAGUCUGCCGAAAAUAUUUAGAAGAACUGCGAAUGAAUUCAGUCUCUGUUCCAUUGAAAUUGUCCUUUUCUAUCAUGCGGAUGCCAGGAAUAGGAAUGUUUCUAACUAAAGCAGCCCGACUAUUUCUAUUGUAGCACUCUUCAUGCAUCUCUUUAAAAAGAGACCACUGGCCCCUAUCAGGGAACUCCAAGAUCCAAUCCUUUCCACCUUUCCACAUCAUAGCAUGAGUAAACCUGUUCACCGACCCAGGUUGCAGAAACUGAUGUGCCCUGUGUGAGUAUUUCGUUGUUCCAGACAUUUUCACUGAAAGUCUCCAUUCAUUAUUAUCAAAAGGUUCCAGGAAAAUCUGAGCUCCAUAUUCUCUCCAGCCUCUGUCACCAAGAGUGACUAAAACAUUGGCAUCACAGAAACUAGACUCCAAAUCUUUCUGAAUACCUCUGGAAAUAUCAGCAGCAGACCUUCUAAUUCUUUUGUUUGGAAGCCCCUUGUGCAGGGAACCUUUACUUCUAGAAUCAGAACCCCCAGAAGGCAAUGAAUAAGACACUUGGGUACGUCGCUUCUUAGGUCCAUUUGCCAAAUUAGUGUGUAGAAAGUCUCCCUUUGAAUCCGACCAGCCAUGUGAGAGAUGGCCAUUUAGAGAACUUUUACUUCGUUGCCACAUACUUCUUGGGGCAGUGGCCUUGGGACUUGAGAUGCUACCUUGAAUAUUCAAGGCCACAUUACUUGACUGCGGAGUACCAUUCUCACAGUGAUCAGAUAUCGGAACUUGAAUACAAAUUCCAUUCACCGGAACGUUAGACCUGGUUUCAUGCUUAUGUCUGACAACAGAAGAAGAAUCAGACCCCAGCAACUGUCUUUGAGAUGGAGUAUGAAGGUCCUUUAACUCUUGCGCUUCUUGCCCUCUGGGAGAAGUGAUAACUGCUUCAUCGUUUGGGCCUUUACUAUUGAGAGAAGGUUCAGAAUGUUCAUUUGUACAAUCUGCCAUAUCACAACCUCCAUCUGUUACCAAAUUGCAAUUGGAUCUCAGGAAGUCUGCUGAAUCAUGACCCAGUUCUCUUAUCAUGUUCAGGUGUAAAUUGAGUAAGAGUGUAGGUGGCCGAGCAGUAAAAGGAAGUGCAAAUGAAGACGUAUAUUUCUGCUUGUAGCUAACAGCUGUGGGGAAGGCUUUAGCAGAUGACGAUUCCCUAGAAACAAGGCCUGAGCUGAUUCCAUGCCUAGAUCUCUUCUGCAUGACCUGAUGUUCAAGAUAUAUAAAAACGAGUUGGUAUGAGAUUAUAGAAAUAAACAAAAGACCAACGAAGAUGUACCAGAAUAAUGCAGUAAAGAUUCAUUUUACCUUCUGCAGGACCUUCAUGUUAUCAUGUGUACACUCUGAAAUUGGUACUUGCUUAACCAGCAAAGCAUGCCUCCUGACAUUCCGUUGCAAGUAUGACCACUUUGAAUGUUUCACUUCAUGGAAACUGUAGAAUAGAAAAGCAAGUUGCCUUUGGAAGCCUGGGAUGCAAGAAACUUGGAGACCAAUUGAGAAAACUGGCAAUUGGAAGCCAGCAUCCGUUUCUUGUGCUCGUUGCUUACUAGAAUGAUCUACUACCAUCAAGAUACGGAAAAUCAAUUGAACAACUUCCAUUAAGCUGCCUUCGAAAAUAAGAUACUGCAACCCAUCUUGAUUAUCUAGGAAUAUCAUUUCCAAACAAACCCUUGGCCACAAAGUCACAAGUGUACCAUGACGAAGCAAAAGAACAACACGUGAGAGCCAGUCAACAUCUGCCAUAAGAAAGUACUUCAUCAAGGAAACAACCUGUUGGCUGAGGGACAACUCAAAUUGCUCUGUGUCAUUCCACGGACAAUAAAGCUCCAGAUCCUCAGAAUCUUCAAUAGGCAAAAACUCUAUAUCAGGAUCCGGAAUUGUUAAUACAUGAAGCUGCUUCAAAACCUCAACAUUAUUCUCAGCUGACCCCUUGUAGAUUCCUUUUUUUGCUGUGUGAAGUCGUCUCCUACAGUAGACAAUAGGAAAUAUGCUACCAUUACGAAAACCAGAGCUUUCCAACUCGUUCCUACUAGGUCCAGGUGAUCCACAUGAUGCAAGAGAACUAGCAGAUCUAUCUGUAUAAUGUCCUGCAGCAUCUUUAACAACAUCCCCAUCCGUUUUCACAGUCGUAUUAACUGUCAUUACUUCUGAUUUUUUCAGUUUUUGUACAGCCUUAAGAGUGGAAGAUUUGUCCCGAUGCCGAGAUCGAGUUAACCAUGUGAUAAUUGGUUCUGAUUCCAUGCAACUAUCAUCUUCUAGAUUUCCCUUCUGCUUCUCCUCUUCUUUACUGGAUAUAUCAUUUCCUUUUAUUUUCAGAGUAGACUUGGACCCUGAACCACGCCUUUUCCGUUGAUUUUUUUCAGGAACUUCAGUAGGGAACAACAAAAUUUUGAAUCUUUCACCUUGUAAAUUGAUCCACUCCUCAUCACGAUCAUCAUAUUUUACAUGAUGCAGGUUCUUGUCUCCAUCGUAACCAUCCACAAACCCAUGAUACCAACUCUCAUCCAAAGGCCAGAAAACUUUUAUCUUUUUGUUUAACAACCAGUGUGAAUCAACAUCAGAAAACAAUAUUUCAUAAAAGUGGCGUCUUUUCCGAACUUUACCCUUCCCAUCAUGCUUUCUUCUUGGUCGCAACAUUCUAUCAUCAGUGUCAUCUGAGAUACAUGUAGAACUAAGCAUCUCAGACCGAGGAACUGAAGUUUUACCAGAAGUUAAUGGAUGCAUACUGGCAGAUGGUGAACCAGGAGUAACAGAAUUUGAAGGAAACUGGGUGCAGUUUGGAUCAAACCGCGAAGACAGCAUUCUUGCUGCAUUGGCUUCAAGAUUCUCCUCAUCAUCUUCUCGUGAUACCUUGGAUAUUCUGCCAGAAGUAUCACCUGAAGAGGACUUGACCUCUUUUCCCACACGUUGGUUUGAUGUUGAGGACUUCCUUUUUCUGCUAUUACUAUUUUUUUGUUUAACAACAACCAGCUGGUCAUCUUUCACUGGAGACUGAUUAGAAUGCCCAUUUUCCAACUGCAACUGAACUGCUGAAUUAGAUUCUUUGAUUUCUUUCUCAAAAUCUUUCUCUUCUACUUUAGAGAGUUGAUCCUGAACACUAGAUUCUUCAACAGUUUCCUUAGGGAUAAUAUCAACCAGCUCCUCUUGACUAUCAGAAUCCCCUGGAGACUUCUGUACUAGGCCAUUCUCAAACCUACUCCUCCCAACAAAAUCUCUCCUGCGUCUAGGAACAUAAACCGUACUACCUGCCAAACCAACAGAAAUCCCUUGGAGUCCACUAGUGUCACACAAUUUCUCGUCCAAAGCCACCUUGGAGUCCUCCAAAUUGUGCAAGAUGGUGGUGCCAUUGCAGGCCUUAUCCAGAAUGUUGUCGUUUUUGCUAUCGAGUUUCUUAAAGCUACUUAGAGAAACAACUUUCCUGCUCUUCUUGUCCUGCUUCAACAGAUCAGCAUCAUCCCCAGACCUAUUUUUCCUUUUAAAGCUCUUAUUCACUGAAUCCUUGGAAAUGCUAGACUUAUAGAGCGUCUUAAGAUCUAAGGACCUCGAUUUCUUCGAAAUUCCCACUCCAUUAGAGUUACCUAGUCUAUUUUCCAUGAAAGCCACCUCGAACCAAAACCCAGAAUCAAAAGCCACCAGGUCUCAAAUUCCAUCAUACACGCAAGGAAACAUUUUUCAGAUCUGUGACACCAAAACCAAACCCAGAAUCACAAAAAGUACCCAGAAUAUGAUAAAAGAAGAACACACAAGUUACCAAAAAAAAAAGAAAAAAAACAGAUCAAACCCCACUCCAGGAAGGAAAAAAAAAAACUUAUGCAUUAAAAUCCACACAAUUUGUUUUCAGCAAUCAAGCAAAUUUUAACUGCAAAAAAAAACAUAAAAGAGAGAAAUUUGCAUGCCUACCUGCAUCACUUUAUGUGACGAAAUCGAGUCUCUUAAAGGACCUUUAUCGUCUCCACAAUCACAAAAUCAAAAUUAGGGUUUCGGUAAAUCGGACUGCGAAUCGGAUCCCUGAAUCAAACAAUCGAAAAUUCCCACAAGUAUUCGUUCAAUUCAGCGGAAAAUUAAAAAAGCAAAAAAAUUGCUUCUUUUUUUUUUUUAACCGGGAGAAACGGGAGAGCUAGGGUUUCGUCUGGUUUCGCGAGAGUAAGGUUUUUUCAGUUAUAAAGAAAACAUAUUCCAAAUAAAAUUCGGAUGACGUGUACCGUCUGAUCUCGACGCGCUACUAAUUCUACGGUUCAGAUUUAUUCUCGAAAUAAGCACUAUAUUUUUAACUCUUCAACAGAAAAUAUACAAUGGACGUUUCAGAUCCUCGGCUGCGAAAUAAAUAUUUUAGACGGUCAGGAUUUAAAGGCGAAGAUUAUUUAUAUCUCUCACGUGUGAUAGUAACCUACCACAAUCUUGUGUCCACCUAGCCAACAAUUGUUAGAGACAUCAUUCAACUUAACAACUAUUAUUACUAGAGGAUGAUUUUAAGUAUUUAAAACAUACACUAGUACUCUACCAGUUAGUUAUUCAUACAAUUAUAUAUUUAAAAAAAUAGUUAGCUUUUGCUUUUUUAUUUGUAUAUUAUCUACACUAACUUUUUGGUAAGUUUUUGUUUAAACUAGACUUCAUUUAAGUAGAUAAAUUAUUAGUGUUUGCGAGAGUAUAAUAAAAAAAAAAUGAAGUGAUACGAGUGUAAAUACAGAAAAUUUUGUGGUUUUUAUCCGUUUUUAUUUAUUUUGAUUUUGUUAUUUUUGACAAAAUAUAGUUAGCAAAAAAGAGUUUAAUUCCUAAUCGAUUUGUAUAUCAAUGUACCGUUGAAAUCAAAUUUUAAUAAUAAUUUUAAAUUAGGCAUUUGGGUGUAUAAAAUUACGUUUUUCAUCCAUGAUAACGUAUAAAGGUAAUAAGAACAUUAAUGAACAAUUAUAGAGGUAAAAAGAUAAAUACAAAUUCUAUAAAAGCUUAGAGAUUUUGUUUUCUAUUAAGGAAUCCGUUAAUUUAUAAACUAAUUUUGGCGCGAAUAUCUAUAUUAACAUUUUUGCAGCAACUAAUGAAAAAACCCUUGCUUUGCUCACUUAUUUACAAGGUUCUGCCAUUGCUAUUAAUAUUUUUUUUUAAAUAGUUUAAAAAUCAAUAAUGAAAACAAGAAAAUCUCCUUAAAAUUUUGCAAAAUACUUAAGAAAAUCUUCAAGUUAAAGAAAUAUUUAUUAUUGCGAAAAAAUAUUAAGAAAAUCUCUAUUAAUUAUUUCGAAAAUAGCUAAAACAAUUUUCAAAUUUAAUACAUACUUAUUAUCUUAAUAAAAAUUUCCAAAAAUAACUGAUGUAAAAUUCAAAAAUAUGAGGCAAACUUCUCAAAUUAAAGUCAGUCGAUUUUAUAAAUAUUAAAUAGGCCACGAUUAUUAUUAUUUUUUGUGGGAUACACAUAUGAUUAUUUAAUAAUAAUAAUAUAAUAUUAUAAAUCUCAAUAACAAUAAAUCUGCAAAAAAAUAAUAUAAAUAUAUAAUAAUUACUAUAAGAAACAAUUUGAAACUUCCCACCAAAAAAAAAGAAAAAAUUUGAAACUUUUAAUUUUCUCUAUAUUUUGGUAACUACCAUAACUACUAGGUUUUAAUACAAUAAAAAAUAGAUCAAAACAUUAUUAAAAUUAUUUUCUAAAUUUACCUUUUUCAAUUUAUUAUGUGCAGAAUUUCUUUGACGAAAUAUGUGGAAAGUGAAAACCGAACCAUUGAAAUUUAUGCAUUAUUUUGGGUAAAAAAUAUGUUAAAAAUAAAUCAAAAUUACAAAACAUCAAUAUUUUAUGUUUCUCCAUUUAUAUUUAGAAGAUAAGAAAAUACAAAUCCUGUAUGCAAUAUUUUGUUAAUUUUUAUUAUUUAAAAUAUUUAACUUUCCCACACCAUUUACCUAUAUAUAUAACCAAAUAUCUGCAUGUAAGCUUAGAAUAUCCAUUUUUGUUUUUCAGUUUUGAUAGCAUUUUUUUUCUUUUGCUUAUUGAAGUAAAAUCAACACGGAAAGAUGGGAAAUAUGUAAUUUUUUUUUGGCGAUUAUAUGAAAUGAUGGGGUAUAAGACGGGAAAUACUGUAAUAUGCUUUCAACAAGUUAUAUGACGGGUCGGGUUGUAAGAUGGAACGAGUUUGACUUAAUAUUACAAAAAAUAGAAUAUUAUUAAUCUCACAGUUCAAUACGGGUCAUUUUACUACUUUUUUAACCAACGCUAAUAUAAAACAUAUAUAAUUAAACUAAUUUAGUAAAGAUUGAUAUUAUGCAAUCUUAACAAUUAUUAAAUAAACUCUAACAUCUAUAAAUUUAAAAAAAAAAGUUUGUCUCGCGGUAUACCGCGGGUCAACAUCUAGUUAUAUUGCAUUUCAAAAUUACCUUCUACUAUUCUCAACCAAUUAGCUUUUAAUAAAUUAUAAUUGUGAAUUAAAAAAAUGGACAAUUUUCGUUUUACUUGGAAAAUCAAAUUGUGUGUUAAUAAAAAUAAAAGUGAAGAACGGUUCAAGAUGCUAAUCUAACUUCCGGUUUGAUCCAUAAGAGAUAACAUCCCUAAUCGAGAGCGGUACCUGGUUGUCGUGUAGCCUAGUAGUAGCUCUAAUUAAGGUCUGACGAGACACAUCACCUCACCGAGCACAUCCUUAAGAAACCCUAAUCAUCUCUCGCAUUCGGAUUGGAAUCGCCUCCUGGAGCUUUCGACAUUCUCGUGUUGUCUCUCAAUUUCAAUUACCUAUUUUACGCUUCAAUACAUUUUUGUCGUUUCUGAGGGUCUGCAACCCUAUCUAUCUUCCAUCGCUUUCAAAUCGCCGUCCAUCAGAGUAUUCUUCUUGUUGGUUGGUUGGUCUCGUUUUUCAAGGAUUUUGUAUAAAAGAUCAAUCCUUUCGUAGAUAUUAGCGACGAUUGAUCAUUUUUCUUCUUCUUCGUUCUCCUCCUUCUUCACCUUAACUUAAUAGAUUCAUCUUUCGUUUCCGUUCCAUUCGUCAUUACUUUCAGCUGAAAUUGGGAAAUUUUGAUUCUUGUUUUUAUCUGAAAAACUCUGUCUUGUUAUCGGAAUCGGGGUUGUUUGAGUUUGAUAGAGGAAAGAAAAAAAAGAUGGUUGGUGGUGGAAACAGAAGAGAUGAGGGAUCGAUGCCGAUUCAGAACACCAACUUGUUUGCUGCUUUGGACACUAGGAAGAAGAAGAAGUCAGAUAAGGCUGGUAAGAGCAAAGGUUCCUCUAAGUCCUCAUAUCCACACAAGGAGCCUGAGCCACAGGUCUUCUGGGCUCCUACGCCUCUCAAAGCAAAAGCUUGGGCUGAUAUCGACAGCGAUGAUGAAGAUGACGACUAUUACGCUACCACUGCUCCGCCUCAGUCCAUGUGGAGCACUUCUGAAGCCUCCCAUUCCGAUGCUAAAGACGUUCACGUUGAGGUUACAAGUCAAAAUUAUCUCAUUUCCUGUUUCAUUAUGUGAUUUUGGAUUUAUCAUCGUGAUUAUGCAUUUGAAAGAAGAUGGAUUGCAUUGUUGAAUGUUCAAGUGGAAUUGUUAAAUUAGUUUAAUUUGUCUCUGGCAAUAAGCCUCUUUAGAUUUCAUAUUCUUUCAUUGCACUCUCGUUGAAGACUUAAGAGUUGAAUGAUUUGGCUUUCUUUUUCUUUUCUUGCAAUUAUAUAUCAGUGAUUCUUUUCAUUUAUCCAAUUGUAUACCUUUGCUGUUAUAGAAAGCUUUCUAGGCAAUAUAAGUUUGCAACUCUGGUUGUUUGUAAAAUUGUCGUUGUAUGCCUAUCUGUUCAUUGGUUUCUGAUAGAGAUGCAUGUAAAUUCAAUGUCACAGGAGAGUGAAAGCGAAGAGGACAUUCUCGAUGAAGGAGAUGAUGAUGAUUUGGAGGAAGAACAAGAACAAGGAACAGAGAUGCAAGUUCAUCCAGAGGCAGAGCCUGAGGUGAAAAAGGCUCCUGAAGUUCAUGCACCUCCUAAGGAGGCAGAGAGGCAACUUUCCAAGAAAGAGAGGAAAAAGAAGGAACUUGCUGAGCUAGAGGCUUUGUUAGCAGAUUUUGGAGUUGCACCCAAAGAUGAGAAUGGUCAAGAAGACUCUCAAGGUACUCUACUGUAUUCUCAUUCAUUAUGUGGGAUACCUCUCUACAUUGACUUAUCAGUGUCUUGAGAAAACUAUGUUAGCUAAUACUGAUAGACGCAUCUUCUCCCAAAUAUCUAACAGAGAAGCAAGGGAAGAGAGAAGUCAAUGAUGAGGGAGAGAAGAAGGAGAACACAACUGGAGAAUCGAAGGCCUCAAAGAAGAAGAAAAAGAAGGAGAAACAGAAGGAGGCGAAAGAAUCUCAAAAUGAAGUGAAGAGUAACUCAGAUGCUGCAAGUGAGUCUGCUGAGCAGGAGGAGGAGUCUUCUUCGAUUGAUGUCAAAGAACGGCUAAAGAAGUUUGCAUCGAUGAAGAAGAAGAAAUCAAGCAAAGAGACGGAUGGUGGUGGUGCAACAGCUGCUGCAAAGGAAGCAGCAGCGAGGAAGGCAAAGUUGGCCGCUGCAAAGAAGAAAGAAAAGAAAAACUACAAUCAGCAACCGGUGAGGUGAAGAAAUCAAUCCACCCACCGUUGUGAUAUGAACAUGUGGUUGACGGGUUUUGUUCAUAUGAGACUUGCCUUGAACAAAUCUUUUGAUGGGGAAUGUGGUUGGCCCGUAUUUUAGAAUUAUGACUUGGAUCUUUUUAAUCGUAUCACAGUGAGACAUGAAAUGAAAAGGUUUCUAUUUGAAUUCUUCUCAGUUCUUCUCGGAUAUUUUUCUUUUCUCUCUGUUUUCAUUAGAUCCUUUAGGGACAUGUAUUGAUUUGCUAAUAAUCCAGUUGAUUAACUACGGAUCCAAAUUGACAAAAUCAACUUUAACUUUGAAAAUUUAAUAAUGUAAUGUUAAAAGAAAUAGGUGAUAUCGUUUUUUUUGUGUUUUUUUUGGGGUUCCAGUGGUGCUGCGUAAAUAUCGUAUUUGGGCAACAAAAAAAGAAGAAGUUGGUAUAUUUUUUCUUUUAGACAAUUCGCCGGCGCUGUUGCUCUGAUCGAGAAAUGUGGAGAAGAGUGGUCGGAAAUGUCGCCGUCCGGCAUCAUUUACAGCGAGCUCUAUCAAGUAAAGCCGGUGGAAGUGGAAAGAGCGGCAACGUUUCAGCUGCUGUGGAUUCGAUGCUUCUGCGUUCCCUUAAGGAACAUUACCUUGAAGUUUCUAAGAUGACCCCUCCUCCGGUUCGUUCCUCCCCUUGUCUGUGUUUCUCUCUACGCUUCGUCUUAGAUACAACUGAAAUUUAUGUGUUGUUUACUUAAACCCUAGAUACUGAUUCGUGCCCUUAGGGUUUUUGGUGGGAUUGGGAAUUACAAUCUAUGACCGGAUUUUUCAUUGAAUUUGCAGAAAGUGAGCCCUCCUUCACCGUUUGAGAUUGUGAAAGGAUCCCUUGAAGGAACUGGGGCUGUUCUGCAGAAAUCUACUGGUAAUGAAGAGAUCAGUCUUUUCGUUAUGCGGUUGGCUCAUGGGGGUGAUGAUGAAGACGAUGAUGGGAUCAAUCAGUUGUUCCUCCAUGUGGCUGUGUCCAAGCCAAAUCAGGCUGAUUCUUUGCAUUUCCUUUGCGGUCUUUACCCUGAUGCAUUGGGUAUCCACUCCGUUUCCAUGAGACCAAAACUCGAGGCUUUGGAGAUGUCUGAUGAUCCUGCUCAAUACACUGGCCCUUCUUUUGAGUGAGUUUCCCUCUCUUUUAAACUUCUUUUUUUUAGUGAAUUCCUCUCUUUAAAUUUGAGAGUUUUGCUCAUAUUUGCUCACGUUUCCAAUAAUUCAGCUUAUGAUUUGAUAACAUAUACAUUGCCAGUGGCCAUUUUAGGUGGUUUCAUUUCUAUCUUAUGCUGUCUCCUCUUGUUACACUUACAACUGUCACUGUAGGAAUAGGUGGUAUUGAAUAGGCUAACUAAGCUUAUCGUCACUUACUGAACUUAUCUCAUACUUUCUGAAGGAUAAUUUCAAAAAACAACGUUCCUAUAUUGUACCAUCUUUUUGGUCAUUUUCUGAUAGACAUUGAGGAAUGUGAGUUUAGAAUGGAGUGGUGGUAGAUGUGGCUGUGUAGUAUCACUAUUGACACAAUCGGUUUGCUUUCUAUUAUUUAUCCUCCAAAAGCAAUGAUUAGUGUUUGACCGGUUCUUCACAUUCUUUUUCAAUGCAUAUCUCAGUUGUAAAGAAGAGAGCUUGCAUUUUGCAUUCAAUUUAGCUUUCUGUUUUUCUCCGUCCUGAAUACAACACGGAACUAACUGUUUCUAUUUCUUUAACAGAGAGCUCGAUGAGAAGAUGAGAGAUGUAUUCCAUGCCUUCCUAGAAGAGCGAGGUGUGAACGAAAGUCUCUUCCCGUUCCUUCAGGCAUGGCUCUAUGUAAAAGAUCACCGUAACCUACUGCGAUGGUUCAAAUCAGUUGGCACAUUUGUUCAUGAAAACCCAUCUGCAGAAAACGCCUAGAAGACAUUUUUCGGUGCUGGGAUAAGUUUCUGUUAGUUGAUACAGCUCAAAUGUUUCAAGAACUGAAUCACUUUUGCUUCUUCCAAACUUUAAGUAUACAUCCAUGAUAUGAUGUUUUUUUUUUGGUAGUAUCCAUGAUAUGAUGUUAUGUUAAGGAUAGGUUCAUUUUUAUAGACUGUGUGAGCCUCCUUGCGAAAGGUAUAGCUAUCUAUGCUUCAUAUUGCAAACUACCGAUUCUAACACUGACUUUACAAAACCAAUGAAGUCGAUGUCGUAAUUUAAAAAUUAAAACCGUCGAAGUCAUAACGUUUUUUGGUCCAGUAUAAAAGUUUACACUAAGUUUAUUUCAAUUUUUGCGCAGUCCACAAGGGUAAUUUAGCUUGCACAAGGUCUCGAGAGAUCCCUGGCUCUCGUAUAGAGGUGGUACUCGUGAUAAUUAAGAGAAUAUAUAAAAACAAGUAUUUGGAACACGCUCAAACUCAAUCAACGAUUCUCGAACUCUUCUACACACUCUUGAGGGUUCCAAUUCACAACGGCAAAAAGCAUUUACAGAAAGGGAACCUCGGCGUUUCUUUCUUCACCUUCUUUGCACCGAGUAGCAAACCCUAUUGUGUAGGAACAACGCAAAACGGCUUACUUGUACCGUUUUCUCCAACAUAGAGCAACCUCAGACAUCUAGAUAACAUUGUUGGCCAAACCAUUCUCAACUCUAAGUUCACUCCGUUGUUGUUGUUGCAGUUGCUGUUGUUGAUGGUUUUCGUUUUCCCCAGAAGAGAGCGAGCUCAAGAUCCCUUGGCUUGUCAAAUCUGAGUUCUUCUCCCCAACUUCGCUUUUGCAAAGAGGGCAAGAGGCAUUGAUCUUCAGCCAUUUGUCAACGCACUCUUUGUGGAAGAAAUGUGAGCAUGGAAGCUCUCUUAACUCCUCGUUAUUCGCAUAUUUCGCCAGGCAAAUGCAACAGACCUGCAAAAAAAGGUCUAUAUUCAGAAACUUAUUGUAUCUAUGUGUUUGUACGUGUACAGUCAAAGUGUCAGCAAACUCACUGCGUCUUCUCCUGAAAUUGUACGUUCCUUAUCUGUUCCAGCCGCCACAACUCCACCUUCGCUAGUGCUUGAACCAUUGUCAUCGCCACUACUUCUGCUUUUCUUCAACUUAAAUUUAUGAGUUGGCAACGCAUUUAUCGACUCAGGUGUGGCACCUCGAGGCUGAGUUAAAUCUUCUCUAUAUCCGAGAAUUGAGAUUAUGCACGGCAAGCAGCAACAUAUAGUUGUGCAGAGGAUGAAGGGCAUCGCAUAGCCAAUACAGCUAAAGGUAAGAAACACUAAACAUAACCUAUAACAUACAAGAGAACAUAAAUAUGGGUCAGUUUUAACAAUUAUAGCCUGAGGGUUGAGUCAAAAUUAGGCAUAGCUAAGAGAAUAUCACCUGUACAAGUUAGGAGCCUCAGCAGCAGAUGAAUGUCCUCCAAAUAUCCAUACAUUACCUACCACAAACCACACCGCGAAGAAGCAAUCCAGAGCCAUUUUGAAGUAUUCCACAAUAACUUUAAGUCUGACCAAAAUCAAAGACUUCAAAUCAGUGACUCUGAGUAGCAAUCAUUGUCAGCACAAAGAAAGAUGUCUGACAGUAGGGACCUCUAAAAUCUCACUAAAUUAUAAAGAGACAAGCUUUGAGAAAACUUAAUUCAAAAUCCAAACAUCCAGUUGAAACAGAUUAUCUAAGAACAUGUGGAUUUACCUGGCAGCACUAAUGAACCCAGGAUAUCUACUACCACGUGAAGACGUGGUAUUGGUCUGUCGACCAUCUCCUUCAGAUGUCCUGGAUAUGGAGAAGGCGAAUGGCCCAGCUGCAACAUUGAGAUUAGGACGAUGCUGGCCAGAAUCCUGCUCAGAGGCCUGAUUCGAGUGAUAAUAUCUCCAGUACAAAAGUGGGAGUGUUGCGACGCAUCCACAGGCAUAACCCACAAUCCAAGCGAACAACGGUGCACGAGGAUGCUCAUGUUUUGACAAAGACAAAACAACAAUAGCUGCAAUGAUCUGACCAAGAGUGAGGAAUAGUUCAAUAGAAAUCCAUAAGCCAGAAUUCAAAGGACUUCUUCUGCGACGGAUGCUUCUGGGAUUCGAUCGCAUAGAUGAGGAAGAAGACACUGUAGCUGGCUGAGGAGCAGACAUGGGAGGUAUAAUCGAGGGUCUCUCUUCCUCGUGUUGUAACGGUUCCAAAACGUUUGAGAUUCUAUCAUGAGAAGAAGAGGAUGAUGAUGCAAUGGCGGCAUUUCUUGGAAUGUCAAUGAUGAUGUGCUCAUUUCGGUUAAGAUUACUCUCUGAUGAUCGUUCCAUGAAUCUAGAAAAGGUAUCAGCUUGAUUUGUAAUACGAUGUUGUUGUUUCAGAAGAGAAACACCCAUCUAGGUUUUGUCCAGUUUGCACAUACCACACCAUGGAACAUAACCCUGAGAUCCUCCUAAGAAAUCCAUAGAGAAGAAACAAACAAAUUGAGAAAGCUUAAACCCUCCAAUGACCUUAAAAACCAACCGCCAAAAUCAUGAAUUUGUGUCUGUUGCAGGAUUUAAAACAUCAGAAUCCGACUAAAGACAACAAAGAGCUCAAUCAUAAACUAAAGUAAGAGAGACAGCCCCAGAUUAACCCAUGAAAUUAGGGCAAAAACAAAGAAAAAUGAAAAGCAAGAUCGUACAUAUCCCAAGAUUUUUCAGAACAAAAGAAGCAUAAAAGAAAAAUGAUAAAGCAAGAAACCUAAUUCGCACCUGAAUAUAAAAUAUGAGAAGAGAAUGAAGCAAAUUAAGGAACAAACCUGCUUGAAUGGUUGAUUUGGCUUGUCCUUUCUGGUCGUAAGGUGAAAUGAGAGAGCCACCGGAAGAAGAAAACCCAGAAACCAAGACAAGGAAUUCUAAUCGAGAAGAGUCAACUUUUUCAGCAAUCGGAAAAAUCCUUUUUGUUGUUUGUUGAUCUUGUAGAGUUUUCUUCAAAUGUAUUUUGCCAUUAUUUUAGUUUUUCUUUUUUGGUUUUGUGUUCACCGAUCAACCAAGGAGAUAAAAAAUAUAUUCAUAUUUAUAUUUAUUUUCUCUGGAUAUAAAAAAGAAUUCGAAGCCAAACCGCAAUCACAAAAAAAAAAAAAAAAAAAAAAAUUAAGUAUAGAUAAAUACAGAAUGAUGAUGAUUCAGAAUUUCAGAAUCAGAUAGUGAUGCUUCUUUGUCUCCUUCCUUUCAUUUCUUCUUUCCCAACAAGAAAGAAGAAACAAAAAAAAACGAAAAAAAGUAAAAGUAAAAAUAAAAAAAGGAUUGCGAAGAUAUUUUUUGCUUUUGGACUUUACCCCCCUGUAUUUGGGCGCGCGUAAGCCAUGACAGUUGUCAAAGAUUACGAUGGUUCGAGUACUAAAACCAAGUUCUAAUUCCUGUUAUUUGAUUUUACUAUUUAUCAUAUCUCUGUAACCAACCAAUAUUGUCUAGUAACAGACAGUUGCUUUACAAGUAGGUGUUGAACAUAUUCAAGAACUCAAGCAAAGUUGUUUUACGAAAAGAAUCUUCCAUUCAUAUGAGACAACAUACAAUACGGAGAUGUGUUAUAUACACAUAAAUAUGAUGAACGAAUAACCCUUUACAUUGUUUUACUUCUUCCACUGCGGAAUCCGCUGCACCACAACCUAAACAAAACCCAUUCAUCUCAAUGAGAAAGAUUAUAAAGACAGAUAAAUAAAUAAAACCUCUUAUUACGAUCCCAAACAUGACAAAAGUUUUGGGCACAUUAGCUACAAACGCGUCUAUCUAUCUAUAUGGGUUACCUUUCCUGAGUUUUGUUUGUUCCCUACUAUUGUUUGACAUGCGAGUCUCCAAGAUUCUGGCUUCUGCACAAAAUAGUACCAAUGCCUUCAGAUUUAAUAAACAUCCAAAGUUCUUAUUUUUUUCGAAUUUGCAUACCUAAGAAGAGUUGGGGCAAGUAUACUUAUUAUUCACCAUAUCAGACAAACCAUGUGUAAUCACAACUUAACAUGAAACAAUGCUCAAUAUUUGUAUUUGAUUCAGCUUGUUCGAGUGCACAUACCCAAUCCAAAGCUCUUAAGUAAAAUGAGAAAGUGAAUCAAACAAUAAUAUAGAGAGGAGCAACAGAAUGACUAGCCUUUUUCAGAUACCGGUUUUCGGUAUCUGUUCUCUCGUUCAGAAGAUCUCUGCCAUCUAGUAUCUGCACACAUGAGAAGACAGACCAAAUGUGUUUGUUUCCCUUUAAGUGUAUAGCCCAUCAAAAGACACCAAACACAAAUCUCUCUCUUAUCAUCCACUUGUGAUAACACAAAAUUUAUAAUCAUAAUCAAGAAAUAUGAUAAGAAGUCACUUGCCUCCACAAUACAAGUUCCACAGCUUCCUCCACCUCCACAGUUCAUCACUUUACCCUAAUCAUCACAAAUUCCCCAAAGGCUCAAGCCAUUAACAUAUUUCCCUCCAAACACCCCAUAAUCCAGAACUAGCUAUUCGAUUGGGUAGCAAAUUGUUCCAGAAACGAGUUCAUCCCAUUUCAAUGUAUAUCAAGAUUGAGCAAAUUUCUAGAUGAAAAUGGAGGGGUGUGUAUACACUCACGUAAGCAGCAUAGAGUUCGAUUUUGUUGUCCUGCAUAAUACUUCUCAUAAGCUUCUGACCACUCACAGCCUUGGCUUUAUCCACCGGAUACGACCCGUCGCUCCCCGGCUUCGGCUACAAUCAGACGCCCAAUAAAAAAUAAAAAUAAAUCUCUCGUGAGUUUUAAAACGAACUGUAUCAGAACUCAAAUCGCACGGAUAGUUACACCGAAGAACUCGAGCUCGAUCAAAGGAGGCGUUGCUGCAGAAAUCUCCUGCUGCGGAGAUGGUGCUUGAGAAGAAGAAGAAGAAGAGCUGUUACAGGAGAUAACGCGAGCGCUUCCACUUCCAGAAAAUUUUCGAUGCUGCUGAAUUUGUACAGUAGAGAAUGAGAAGCCGAGGUUGAAACCUAGUGAGGUCAUUUCUCCCGGCUGAUUCUUCCCGUUUUAGGUUCCGAUCUCCGGCGAAGAUCCCCGAAACUAGAGGGAUAAAGUGCAAACCGCGAAUUACGUGGACUUCCGUCUUCCAGAUGUUAUUAUUAGGAGGCUUCUAUCUUUCUUUCUUUUCGGCUAACCCGUUAAAAGCCCAAUAAACUCUCUUUCUGUCAAAAGCCCACCAAACAUGUCAUGUGAAUUUCACAAGUAAAUUAUUCUGAAUAGAAUGGCUUACGGUAAUGGAUGGCACUGGGAGGCUGGGAGCUGUAUGAGAAAUGAGGUGGGCAACAAGAGAAAGUAGAACAGUCAGAGACAGAAAAAGAGAUGACCAAAUUUUGCAAUCAUAAACUUUGUUCGCCACCUUAUUGGUCACUUAAUCAACGUUCGAUAUCAUCGUUUAGUCGAUUAUUUUUCCAACUGUGGCAUCCUUUUUUUUUUUACUUUUUCCAACUGGUAAUUUUGACAGUUAUCAAGAUUAUGUUUAGCAAGUAAACAAACGAUUUAUUAGUUAAACAUUUAGGGUUACUACAGAAGGAAACUUAUGUGAGAGGCCAUCCUUAUUCAUUACUCUAUUUUAAUUAGUCUUAACCUAUUGUUUAAUAUCUGAUGAAUGCUGAUAAUAAAUAAAAUAAAGCACACAUGCAGCAAUAUAGACCAGAAUCCUAAGCCAAAAAAAAAAUCUAAUUAAGGGUUUUGUGUAAAGAACAAGAAAGCAAAACACGUGCUCCCAUAAGAAGACACAAUUAUGCUUCUCUAUCAAACCCCCCACGGGAGACUAGUUAAUAUUUUUUAAAAAAUCAGUUACUCUUCUUCAAUAAAAUAUUUAUAAAAAAAAACCAUUUCAUACAUGUGAUUUCUAUCUGUAUAAAGAUUUUUAAAAAAGCCAUUUCAUAUAUGUACAAAUUUAAAAUUGUACAUGUAUUAAAUGACAUUUUCCAAAUUUAGGAAACCAAGCGUUACACAAUAAAGUGAACAAAAACAGAACGUCGCUCUCUCCUCUCCCUAACAGUAAACCCUAGCCUCCAUUUAAGCUCUGUGGCUGGGAAGUCACUCCGGUGGUCGGCACUUCUUGUUGACGCCGUGAGUGGCUUCCCCUUUAGGAGUUGUUCUAGUUUUUUGGUUCAGCAGUCUAUCUAUCUCUUAGUGCUUGGUGGAAGAAAGCUUAAUCGAGCAAAAUGGUAGAUUUUCACGGCGGGGAUCGUUGGUGCCGUCAGUGGUUAGCUUCUCCAAAGAGAGUUGUUGGUUGGUGUCCGAGAUCUCUAGAUCUGUCGGGUGCUCUGUUUUUGUAAGAGGUUUGGUGUUUCACGAAUCCUUGGCCAUAGUCUCAGCCAUUUUUGCUUUCGGUAAGCGGGUCUUUUGGCUGCUCUUCUAUGCCGAUUUGCUAGAGUCAGAUGGCUUUCUUUUAGUUGGUUAUGUAUAGUGGUUGCUUAAUUUGUUCCUUGGUAGUUUCGAGUUCAGCGGUAGUAGCCUUCAUUUGGGAAGUCCUUUGUCUUGAUUCAAGUGUUGAUGGCUUGUGUUGGUGGUGUUGUUGGAGCGCUCAUUUGAGCUGGAUCUUGUAUUUACAGAGAAUGGGAGGAUUCCGGAUCAGUUUGAUCGACGGGUUGGGCUCAUUGGUUAUACUCUUUGUCUAUACUUGAGCUGGUUAUGAUUUUGUUGAUGUUCAUGUGCUUAUCGUUGUGUCUAAGCCUCCAAGUUUCAUGCUGUCUCCUCGUCUCAGCUGUGGAUUUCCUUUGGAUUCGUUUUCCUUCUAAAGAGAGGUUUCGUUUUGUUUGAAUGUGAUGAUAGAAAAUCUGAAGUUUGCCGAGUUCCCUCUUCUUGUUGUCGUUCUCUGUGGAUGUUAGCUUUCUCGCUAUUCGCCGAUUUCGUUUAUGUGAUUGGUGGUUUGAGGAGUUAAGCUUCGCUCCUUGCGUUUUGAAGACUUCUAGUUUGACGUACUUUGGCGUAUCAACGUCGUCGUCGCUUCCGGAUGUGAGUGGUCUUGCUUGCCGUGUUAUGAAGUCUCUGGUUCCUGGUUUUGAGAGAUUGGCUCUCCGCGUGUUAGGAGGUAGUAGAUGUUAUCCUUGAAUUGGCCGUGGGCAUUCGGGGUAAGUCUCAUUCGAUUGUGCUCCAGAAGAGGAGGUGCUUUGUUUUCUCGUUUCUUUUAUUUCUCUUAAGGUUUUAUCGCCGGUUGCCUCUUUUUUAGAUUUUGGUUUCGUUUCCCUUUUGAUUUGGCUUAAAAACUUGUGUUAUGUUUGUAGUUUUCCGAUCGUUUCCCUUUUAUAGGGCGUAGCUUCUGGGGAAAUUUUAUUUCUGCCGGCUUUGACUCCGGGGAUAUUUACGUCGUCCGCCGGCUUUAGUUUCCCUCUUUUGGGCUUUGUAUUUCAUCUUUGACACCAAAUCAAGUUUUAAUAAAAUUCCAGUUGACAAAAAAAAAUAUUAAAUGACAUUUUCCCCUUUAAUAUAUAUUGAUUUUUACACAAUUCUUUUCUUUUUUCUUAUCAAACACAUAAUUUCUCUUAAUAUAUUUUAUUUUCUACUUUAAUUUCAACUCGAUUACACCACAGAAAUUUGCACACACAAAAAUAAAAUAAAAUAAAAAAAGUAGGAAAGAUCAAAGGAGCCAUCUUUGAAGUGGGAAGAUCGUCAUGAGUAGUUGUAAAAUCGAUUUCAUUCAGAAGAAAUAGGUUAGGUCCUACUCAGAUUAGAGUAUAAGGAUUCGUCAUGAGUUCUCUUUCUCUCCUACUCAUAUUAGAGUAAGAACCCAAAUAUAAUAUAGUACUACUUCAUUCAAAAUUCAACCACUCCCACUUCUCCAAACCAUAAACCAUAUAUAUAUAUAUGGAAAUUGCUACAACUAUCUCUCUGCAGUCAAAUCAGCCUUAUGUCAACAACAACAAGAAAAAAAACAACAAAUAUUGCAUUCAAAUUGUAAGUUAUAAUGCAUUGCUAUUUGAAGUUUGGUAAAAUUUAUUUACAGUAUUUGUAGUAUUUUAUAAGUACUGUAUUUGACCCUCUUUUAUUAUUUGCAAUUUUAAAUUGAAUACUAUUUGUUUGGCGCCUAAUUACCAAACUAUAUCUCCACAGACAAACAAUGUAUUUACUAUUUGUAUUUAAAUUCAAAAAAAUGAUUAUUUGACGUGUAAUUUUUUGAACUAAUCGAUCUAACCACCAAUAUAUGGGUGGAGUAUUUAACAGUAUACUGUACUACAAAAUGAUGUUUAGCAGUGACAACAUUACCAACUAACCUAGGAACUACUGAAAUUGUUUUUUUUUUGGGUGCGGAUAGGUUAGUAGUGUGUUGGUUAGAUUAGCUACACAUCUCACUUUCUCAAAUCAAUAAAGUGUGUAUCUUUCUAACAUUAUUAUUCUAUGAUGAUACCUCAAAAUUUUUAUGUUUAAAACGAGUCUUCGAUGCCAUGAUUUUACAAUCUUUACUUUUUUUUUUUUUUUUUUUUUUGAACAAACAAUCUUUACUUACGUUUUCUUUUUUUUUUGUUGGCUGAGUUCUUUAAUCAUAUUUUAUCAGAUUAUUAGUAUUAUAUUAAGGGGAAUUAAAUCAUGUAAGAGAAACCCAAUAAAGUAGGGGUGUGUUGGCAAACUAGUACGUUUUUGAAACAUAAUUAUAAAGAUAGUACAUUUACUAUUCACAAUUAGCAAAAUAGUACAAUUUUACUAUUUCAGAUAUUUGUACAGACAGACAACUGUACAGUAACAUAUUAUUGUACAUCAAAUAUUUGUACAAAGAGAAACAACUACAUAUAAACAUAUUUACACAUAAACAAAUAUACAUAUAUAAACCAGAAUAUAUAUGUACACAUACAAUUAUACGUAUAUAUAGACCGUUGUACGAAUGAUUUUCCGUACAUCGACACACAACUGUACAUAAGGUUAGCUGGACGUAUCAAAUUUGUUUGAAAAAUAUAUGAAAUUAUUUUUUAAAAAAUGCAUAUCAAAUUAUAGAGAAAAAAAUACAGAUUUUUGUGUAAUUGAAAUUUUAUAGAAAACAAAUAUAUUUUGAUAAAUUUUUUUAGUUAUUAUAUUUAAGAGGAUUUUUAAUAGUGUCCAAAUAGUAAAAAUGUAUUAAUUUGCUAAUAAUAAAUAGUAAAUGUACUAAUUAUAUAAUUAUGUUUCAAAAAUGUACUAAAAGCCCAAUUAAUCCAUAAAGUAGUUUGAAGAACAAAAAGACAACCUUUUUUGCCCUUUUAUAAUUUACACUUAUACCCAGAAAGAAAUAAAAUAACAUUCUGAUCUCUCUCUCUCUCUUUCUGUCUCUCGUUGAGUGUGUCCAUGAAAUAAUAAUAAUAAUACCAGAGAGAGAGGGAGAGAGAGAGGGAGAGAGAGACUGUAAUGUGGUGGCGAAGUUCGUGGCCACACUAAUACUCUGCUUUGAUGAUGAUGAGGAACCACAACAAUGGCGAGCGAACCACUGAUCUUGAUUCUCGUCUCCUGCAGCAAGAACAGGAUAAGCUCUUGUUCCAUGACUUCUUAGGCUCCAAGACUCCUGCUUUACCCUCCCCUUCCAUGGCUGACCACAGGCUACCUCCGGAUUAUAAGGCGGCUAAACCGGCCAUGACUCCCUCUAUGGCUUCGGCUUCCUCCGCCGGUGGACGCGGUGGUCUCUCCUCGACCUCCGAUCUCGGUUCUGCUCUCCUCCCUUUCUCUCUCUCUCACUCUCUUUCUCUUGAUGUGGUUUUGAGCUGAUUCCUCUGUACACUUGUCGUUUCCAUCUACAGAAAGUUCAAAAUUUUUGUUACAUAGAUUCGAUUUUAAAGUUCGAUUCUUUCGUUUUCCAAGCCUGAAUUAACAAUCGAGUUUUGAUCAACCAUGAUUUGGAAAUGUAGAAGAUCAUGUGUCAGUGCUAGUUUCAACUUUUUAGCUCAAUUCAUUUAUGACUCCAUCUUUUAAGUAGGAAAUGGAACAUCUUUUGGGUGAAGUUAAACAAGAUAUGAGUGUACAUUGUCUAGUUUUCUUCUCUUGCCUUUGUUUUAGUUUGAAAAUUUUAUAAACUUGAACAUGGAUUUUGGGUGAGCAUGUGGUUGAUUGAACUAUAAUAGUGAAGGACUCUGUCUCUCUGUCUGUCCAACCAUAAUGUCUCUGGUGGAUUAGUUGGGACAGUGGGAGUGAAUUUGACUGAUGAGUUUGGUGGGUCAUAGCCAUUGGAGGUUGUACUGCUCUUUUGUAUGAAUUAGCCUUCUUUUUUUUUUUUUACUUCUCUUUCCCACUCUCUCCUUGAGUUCCUCCUACUGCAGUCUGAUAGAUUUUAACUUUUGUUUAGUGGAAAGACACAGCGGCGGGGGGAAUCAUCUUGAUGGGAUACAAUUGUUUGGACCAAGAAGUGAGGUUUCUGGCUCGAUUAUGAGCAAUCGAUUUUCGGGAAACAAGAGAAGUACCUCGGAUUCACACUUCUCAACGCAAGAGCACCCAGAGACUCUGCAUUGGUCCAAGGUAAAAAAGAAAAAAAAAACACAACUUCACCAUGUUCGUAGCUUCCAUAUAAGUUAUAAUUCAGUUUCUGUAAUUUGUCAUUGUAAUAACCUAGUUGCUUAGAAACGGACCUGGAAGCUUCUCCAUGAAUGUGAAUCCCUUGGCAAACCAGCCUCCACGUGGAGGAGGACAGAUCAGUCAUUUGCUUCAUCAGCUGUCUUCAAGCAGGUUCAAAGAUGAAAACGUAGGUCCAUCAGCUAUCGCUCAGACAGCUGCUGAUGAAGGUUCACGAACAGGGAUGAAAGGUCCCGGUAUCUUGAGUUCUUUUACAAUGCCAAACCCGACCAAGCUCGAAAGUUUUCCCCCUUCAAGGUCAGUUAGCUUCUACUGUUCUGUCUCUGGUCUUUUUGAUACUAUCUUCCGAGGCAUUUCAAUACAUUUUGUAUUUAGCACCGGAAUUCGGAAAGACGUGAAGUCAAGUACUAAGCAAAUGACCAUCUUCUAUGGCGGUCAAGCUCAUGUCUUUGAUGAUGUUCUACCAAACAAGGUGAUUCUCCUUAACACUUACAUUCUUGAAAUUCAAGUUAUUUGACUACAUAUUGAAAUCUAAUAAAGUAGAGAAACUGGGAAGUCCAUUAUAUAUAAACGUUUUUUCUCUUUUGCAGGCGGAUGUGAUAAUGGCCUUGGCAGGAUCAAGCGGGGGCUCAUGGUCUACCGGUUUGUCGCAUAAACCAAAGUCAAAGAACAACACAAGUGACUGUCCAUAUAAAAUAGACCAAAUGUAUGAAGGAGGCAGCUCUAGAGAAACACCGCUUUUGGUUACGGAUUUUCGUGCAAGGCCAAGUCAUCAAGCUACAUCCAGGGCCUGUCAGCGGAUCUUUUCACAACAAGGUGACUAAUUUUUAAACAAAAUCAUAUUUCAGCAGAAAUUUUGGUUAGCGUCUUACAAAUACACAAUGGAGUGGAGCAAUCAGGUCUUGUUCUGCAUUGUGAGACAUAACAAAUAAAGAGUUAUCAACAGUUCUGGGUUUUGUCAGCUUUGAAUCUUUUUGUCAGGCCAUUAAAACAUGUGCAUAUAUGAUUUGCAGGUAGAGAACAUCAAGGAAGUAUCAUCUCAAGGGGACGAGAUACCAGAGAUCCGGUUCACAUAUCAGAUCCUGAAAAAGAAGCCACAUGAUUUAGUCUGGAUAUGAGAGACGUGCUUAGUUGUCUUUUUUUGGCAAAUUAUCUAAGUUGUUAUUUGUUCGAGUUAAAAGCUUUGUACAAUGCUCUGUACCUUUCUAGGUUUAUAUUCCGAAUUUAUUACCCUUAAUGAUUUAAAGUAUAAUUUCCCCAUAGCUAGUAUAUAAACAAUUGGUCAAACAAACCUGCUUUUUCUAGGCCAACAGAUUUUCAUAUAUGUGUAAGGUUGAGCAUAUGGAUACAGUAUCACAAGAGAAUCAUGUCUAAACCAACUCUGGAAGUCUGUAACUCGAAAGGAGAGUCACCUCAUAUCACCUUAUUCAACCCCUUCUUUCGAGUCAGAGGUGGUUACAACAGAUAUUUGACUCCUCAGCCUCUCAUUCUCAGUACAUUCCUCCUGCAAUUGAAAAAAUUAGCACUAUAUAAGUAGAUGACUCUCGGGAGUUGAAUCGUUAUAUCAGUAUAACCACUUGUUUCCUCUUUUGUGCUUACCUGGAAUGCUCUUAGUACAGUGUAGCAUUUCCUUUGCUCUGCAGCUGCAGCAAGAUACUUUUCUUUUGAAGCAUCACGAAGCCUCUGCUCUUCUAGAAGCCCAAGUUGUACUUUUCCUAUCUUCUGCACUUCAAACAAUUUGUCACGACAAGUCAUACAGCUAAAGUUAUGUAAGAUGGGCGAGAUUCAUUCUUUGUGCCCCAAAUACCUAAAUGAAUAUAACUCUCUUACCUGUUGGAUUCCUUUCAUUACUCCUUCCAUAGAAUCAAUAAGCUUCACACGGCCAGCAGGACGGCCAAUCACGUCUUGAAACUACAUUGGAGUCAACGGCUAAUGAGGAAGAAUUGUGAAACUUUGACUCACCAAGAGAUAUACUAAAAGGGGAAAGCAAAACGUAAAUCAACUUAAUAUGAACCUAGCCUUUUCUCAACGAUAAGUACAUAAUAACUAAAGGUAUAAAACUGAGAGCAGUAAAAACUAAAAAGCAGAUGACGCCAGUUACAGAAAAUCUACAAAACAAUAACGCCUGUAAUGUACCUGUGAACCUAUUGAAUUUAAUAAUGAUGUCUCCUUUAGCAUCAAAUCUUUGAUUUCUAAAAGAGCAUUGUAUGUUGCAUAGAGCUUCCUAGUUUGCUGAAGUUUCUCCUGUUUUUUAGUCAGAAAUUGAACAAAUGUUCAAGCUUGUAAGUUCAUUUUCAACUACAGAACAAACCUGCAAAGCAACACGGCAAAUAUUAAUUUGACCAUUCAAACCUGGAUACAGACAUUCAACUCUGAGAAUCUUCUUUCAUAUCUGCACGGAAUGUAAUGUAGAACUUUAGCAUGAGACAAAUACAAAGCAAGGGGGAAAUUAACCAUAAUGAAACUGGAUUCCCUUUGAACAAAAAAAAAAGAAACUGGAUUCCUAAAAGCAAGACGCAAAGGAACUUGACUUCUGAAAUAAUGAUUCCACACCUUUACAACAGAAUUAAAGAUAUAUGCUCAUCAAACUAGAGGGAGUGGGGUUAAAACAGAUACAUUGUUGAGAUGGACGAGUUUCAAUGCUAACUAAUACACAAAUACAAGUGCCAAAUCCAAGGCAUCGCCUUUGAAGAAAGCAAGAAAUAGAUAAAGAAGGGCAUACUGGAGGAGUUCUGAUUGGCAUGGCACAUCAUCAAUCUGUCGUUUCAGUGACACUAUUUCUCUAAGCGUUGCUGCAAGCUCCUACAGUAAAACAAAAGAAAUGCAGUAAUAACCUUUUAGAAAGACAUUUAAAAAACCUGAACUUUACUCCAUGAUGCUCAAGAUGCAUAGAGGCUUGUCUAUAGCUUAGAUAGAGUACCUUCUUUGCUGAAGUCAGAUUAUCUAAAGAUUCAACCAACAAACCAUCUAAAUAUUCCUCUUGAAUCUCACCAUCAUGCCCCUUAGCGACACUCUCUUUCAAAUCAUGAACCGCACCUUCUAAAGCAGAACGCCUAGCAUUGCAAUUAGACCGGACUUCAGAUUCCUCUUUUUCUAAAUCCUGAAAAAACCUACAACUAUUGAGUUCCACACAGGGCCAGUUACAAAAUAGUAAUGAAAACAGAAACUUUUGGUAACCCUCAACACUUAUUAACCUUGAGUGAUCUCAAAAGCUGUAUCAACUCCUGGACUGAAACAUCAACACCUUCAGCACUUAUUCUUUCUUGCAGCUGCUGCAGUGUAUCCUUAACAUCACAUUUUCUCUGAUUCUAAGUUACAAAUGGCGACAGAUUAAAACCUAUCAGUGUAAUUUGAUCAAAAACACCAGUGUAUAAGAUAGACUAGGAAAUAAGAGACGUGAAAGGGUUGCACCUGUUCAUUCAGUGUCACACUCAAUUCUCUAAUAGACGCCUUUAGAUUUGUCACCAUUACCUCAGGCUGCCCUGAAGCACAUUCCUCCUUCCCAGAAAUACAAACCUGUGGUUCUAGAGUAUAUCAGAACUUCUUCCGAAUCUAAUAGAUCAAUUGAGCAUCGAACAUUUCAUUCUUCGAGUACAAAACUUCAGGGAUCAAAACCAUAGCACAAGAACAAACAAAAUCAAGCAAAAAGCUCCUUCUAACCUCGUCACUGUUAUAUUCCUUCUCCAUCACCCGAUCACGCAAAACCGGGAAUUCUUCCUUCGCUGCCGGAGAAUCCGAGUUCAGCGACUCGGAAGAUCGACCUCAGAGACGCCGGAGCCUUCACGAUUGAAAGAAGACGACUUUUCACCGGCGUAAGCCAAAUCUAAAGGGCCACACUCUAUAAGUUUGCGACUGGAAUUUCGUAAUGGCGUUAAUAGCUUUCGCGUUUGCGUUUGCGUUUGAUGUAUGACUCACAAUUUCAGUUUUGAUUGUUUUUUUAACGCGUAAAUAUACUCAUAUAUGCAUUAAAAAAAUUCAAGCAGCAACUACCAAAAAAAAAAAAAAAAUCAAGCAGCUGAACCGAACCAAUACCGAAGCGAAGAGUGUCAGUAAUGAUUAAAGCUGAGCCAAAAGGACUAGUAAGAUUACAACAAGAGUUUUUCACAAUUCCUCAAGAUCCCAAUUUCGUCAGAUCAUACAACAACAUUUGUUUUUCAACAUCUGAAAAACUAUCUUGAGAUCGAGAUAAUGGCCGAGAGAGAGGAGAGGAGAGAACUACAAGUUAAAAAAAAACCCCGAGAUUAAUAAUAAUACCUAAACACAAACUUCUGUUUUCCUCUCAUUGAUAUCACUUCCACAGCUUCACUAGCUUGUCGUGACUUGCUGAUGCAACCAAUCCAGUUGCGGUUGACACCGCCAAUGAAGCUAUUAGCCCUUCGUGAGCUGGUAAUGUCAUCGUCUUGUUCUCUGACAUGUUCCAUAGUUCUAAAGACUGCAUACAUACACAAAACACAGUUCACAAGUUUAGAAGUAAACUUAUGAUUUCUUGAUUAGUUUUCAUUCCAACUUUUUAAACAGUCGUUGUUAUCAUUUCAACUUUACCUGGUAGCAGCCAAUUACGAGCAGCGAGGGGUAAGCGGGAUGGAAAACACAAGACUGGAACUUGUUACCGUUGCAGCUCAGCUCAUGAACACAUUCUCCUUCACUACCUGUACCAAGCGUCCAAACUUUCACCAUAUCUUCGCUAACCGAAGCCAAGAAGUCACCAGAAGGAUCCCAGCAAACCGAGUUUAUCGGAUUAGCAUGCCCCUAUCACAGAAGAAUUAGUAAACCUUCUUUUGAGAUGCAAAAUAUUUCACAAAUCCGAAACCGAAUAAGAAAAGUUAGACACUAAACCUGCAAAGAGUGUCGAAUAGCUUGUGUUUCGACAUCUAGUACAUUGACAAGAUUUGCUGAUGAAGCCGCGAGAUACUUUCCAACACGGGGUUGGAACCUCAUCUGGGUGGAACCACCCUGUGGAAAGACAAAUGUAUAAUUAAUUGUAUUGAUUGCUAACUAAAGUAAAUAAUGUUGAAUCAUUGGUUUCAAGAGAGGAAGAAACGUACCUUGUACACUCUUGUGCAACUUCCAUUGUUGAUGCUCCAGUACCUUAUUUCGUUGUCAUUGUCACAGGAACAUAUGAGAUCAUCCUUGAUGGGAUGGAAGUCAAGUGACGUAACCAUAGAAGAAUGUCCCAUGAAAGUACGAAGGGAAUAACCUUUCUGCAAAGUUGAUUCACACACACUUAAGAUCACAACGUCCGAAACCAAUAUAUUCACGUAGAAAUAAAAAAAAAACAUAGUGAAAACGAUCAACUUUCACUUUACAUUAUCAGCAUCCCACACCCUGACAGUUUUGUCAAAUGAAGAAGUCGCAAGGCGAGACAGGCUUGGACUAAAACGGAUAUCUGUUAUCAUAGCUGUGUGCUCCUCAAGGGUUGUCUUUGGCUUCAUACUGUCUGUGUGCCACAGUACAGCCUGCAGGAUGAACCAUGCCACGAGGCUUAAUUUUUAGAACGCCAAUAGACCUAAUGAUGAUUUCUAGCUUACCUUUUUGUCAUGUCCGGCACUAGCAAGCAUUUUUCCAUCCGAUGAGAAGUGGCAACAGGUAACUUUGCUUGUGCUCGCGCGUACUGAAUUCACUUCAGUAAACGUGAAACCUAGUGCAGAGCCAUAGUUGUAGAAAUUUAGAAAUACUGUUGGAUUACAGAAGCAGAGUUCACUGUGUUCUUGUCGAAUGAUAUUGAGUGAGACUAAAACACGCACCUUUACUGACAUCCAUACACCGAGUAACAGCAUCUCGUUGAUCACCAUCCUCCUGGGAUAAAAAAGACUCAACAUUGUCGUCGAGCGACCCAUCUUCCACAAAUCGAUCCAUAUCAGCCUGCAAAAUAGUCAAUUAUUGAUGCUGCUAAUUAUUCAUUACGAAAACAACUACACACUCCCAUCAACAGUUUAAGGAAACCCACCAACUGAUUGGAUGGAGAUGUAAGAGUCCCAGUUCCUUCAGUGCCAAACAUCAUCAUUGAUUUGGACGAACCACCACUGUGCGGCAGAUUAGGCAUAGAAAUCACAUCUCCAGGAGUAUGAGUUGAAGGUGUUGAAGGUGCUGAGCUUGGUGAUGGUCCCGCAGUGUUAGCUGUUCCUGAACUAUUAGCUGGUCCAGAAGACGAAACUGGUUGCUUUCUUUUCCUCCCAGUCUGAUUCUUCAAUACCUUCAGUUAAUUGCAAAAGAGUUUAGGAACUAACCUCAGCCUCACCAGAGACUAAAAACUUAUGUAAAAGAUAUUAUUGAAACAAGAAGUAGGAAAUGAUACAAGAAUAUAAGAGGAGACCUGUUCGUUUCCUCGAAAAGAAUUUGACAUGCUACCAUCCAUCGUAAUACUACCACCACCUCCCAGUUUAUCUUGUUGAUGAAUGUUGUGAUUUGAACUUUGUGGUUGCGGAUUUGAAAGGGCAAGCUGAUUAAGCGGCUGCGGCGGUGGCUGUGGCUGCGGCUGUGGUGUAUUCCCACCACUCUGCUGUUGAUGCUGCUGCUGCUGUAACAGAGCCAUCUUUAACUACAAAGCACAAUAAGUUGUUAAAACUUUAGAGCGUCAAGGCCAUUGAAAACGAUCAGAGAUUAUUAUAUCUUCCUCCAAUUAUAACACACAAUACUGUUAGAGUUUAUUCGAAGUUGUGUACUAUUGAAAAAACAUUAAAGCCAGCCACUUAAGAUUCGUAAAAAACGACGAGGCAUACCUUAAGUAGCAUGUCGGUGUCUCCACGUGGCAAAAGAGGGCCACCAGGUUGUAAAGACGAUCCAACAUUAGGUAAAACAUCCCCAACAGAACUCCCAAGGCCAUCCUUUCCAAGGCUCAUGCUCCUGUUGCUCAAUAGCAUUUUAAGUCUUCUGUUCUCUUCACUGACGGACUGUGAAUUCAGAUUCUGUUGAGCCAGCAUGAGCUGUUGCUGAUGUUGCGGAGUCAACAUGUUCAGUUGGUGAAAAGACUGAGGAGACUGCAUAAAUGGUUUUUGCUGCUGAAGAAGACCAGAACGAAGCUGAUCAAAUCCCUAAAUCAGGUAAGAAAGCAGCAGUCAGAAACAAUACUAUUUCGAGAGAAAGUAGUGAGUUUAAGCCAGAGAGAGAUGCAUGGGUAAAGCUUACAGUGAGAGGCCACCCUUUAAGUGUAAGGUUGUUGUUGCCUUGAUUUGAACCUAAAACAGGAAAACCAGCAUUAAUCAUCUUGUUAGCUGAGUGCUUUACAUUUGAUAUGCUUAACCUACUGAAAUAAUACAAGCAGGAAAGCAAACCUACCAGGAAUCCCAAUCAACGACCCUUCUGGAACAGCAGUUCUGGGAGUGAGAACGGGAUUGAUCUCACUUUUUAUAUCCUAAACCCAAAUAAUCCCAGCAAGAAUCAACUAACAGUAAACCUCUACAAGGGACUAGACACAACAAAGAUUUAAUAUUACGUACCACUGCAGACCCAGAGAGUUGCUGAUUUCGAGCUUGAACCUGUGGAGACAUACCACCACUUGUACUAUGUAAUACUUGCCUGUGAUUCACCAGUAAAUGGCAUUAGAAAAAGAGAGAUCGAAUUUGGUUGCAACAUAUUUAUCGACUAGGCAAGGUAGCAGAAGAUAUAAAGGAAACAAUGAAGGAAGUACGAGAACAGUACCCUGCAGGUUGUCCGGAAGCUGCAGCAGAUUUCAUUAUUGAUGCAUGAUUUGGAUCCAACAAUUGCCCAACAUUGUCCCCAAAUCGCUGUAGUCAUAGAAGUUUUGAAUUAUAGCAUCUGAUAAAACUUAGGUGUGACAAAAAGAAUAAAUGGAAUUUCAAGAUGCCUAGCCUACACUAACCUUCAUAGCAGCUUCAUCUAAGGAUUCCCUCUGAGAUGGCAUUUUGACCCUGUCCUCGUAUGCCUUACUUGCUAUGGAACUACCAGACCCAGGAUUUUGCCUCAUAACUGGAUCACUGUUAUUACCAGCAAGUCCAUUUGCUGAUCCAUUUGCAAGGUGGGACCCAUCUCUUCUCUGUGGCGGCUGCUGUGAUGUUGACUGCUGUUGGUGUUGAGACGCCGGCUGCUGCUGUUGCUGCUGCUGCUGCUGUUGAGAAGGUGGUUGGUUUUGAUGUUGUUGUUGUUGCUGCUGCUGCUGCUGUUGCUGUUGCUGUUGCUGAUGAUGAUGUUGUUGUUGCUGCUGUUGCUGUUGUUGUGCACGUUGUUGUAACAAGAGUUGCUGCAUUUGUAUUUGCUGCUGUUGUUGCUGCUGCUGCUGUGAAACCUGUGGGUGGUGAGAUUGUUGCAAUUGCUGUUCUCGCGCUUUGAUCAUUUGCGUCUGUAAACACACACACACACAAGUUUAAAUCUUAUCAACUUAACAUACCAAUACUAAUACUUAACCAAACAUUUCUGACUAUACAUAUACAACUUCUAAAUCUUCUCUUUAAACAGAAAAGACAAGAGAGAACAGCACUCAAUUGUAAGCAAUCAAGGUGAGCAACUCCAUAUCAUUAACAAAAAAGACUAUCGUAGCUUUGCACAGAUAUAGAAUCACUAAUAGUCUGGGUAACAAAGAAAGAGACCUCGAUGUAAGAUGCGGCAACCUCGGAAUGCUUCUCAUUGGUCCUGGCAAUAAAUAUAUCCCAGAAGACAGACCACCACUCAAACAGAAAUCCGCCAGGUGCGUCAAUAGCUACAAAACAAUGCAAGAAGAAUGUGAAGUUGAUUAGUAAAUAGAAACAGUUACAGCAUGAAAGAUCUUUAUCUGUAGUCAAAAAGGUCAAAGAGGAUUGUAAUUUCGUACCGACUGGAUCUGAUGACACUUUUCCUUCAGCUUGGAAAGCCUGAGCUGUGGCUUUUAAAUCUCUUUUAACCAGAUAAUCGUGGAUAUAGACAUCCAACCUGUUACACUCAACAACUUUUAAUCUUAAGCAGCAACACCCACAAGAUAAUAGUAUAUAACACAUCAAGAUCGGAAUAAGAAUUGUCUUAGAAAUCUCUCGACAAAGGGAACUCGCCAACGAGGAGCACAAAACUUAACAAUGUCCAAGAAACAAACCAUCCAGUUCGUAACAAAAACACCAAAAUCAGGAAACUUUGAUGAUGGAGCUUAUAGAAGUCACACACUUUGCAUACUGAAAAGAAAAGGAAAUUUGGGGCAGUAACAAAAUAAAUCUGAUGGCACAAGAGUCAACCAGAAUUGGAUAAACCAAAUAUCCAGAAAUUAUCAAGCUCUUUGACAGUGACUGACAACACAAAGAACUAAACUUUUGGCCAAAACAUGCAAAACUUCCCAAACCAAAAGUUCUCAACAACCACCAAAAUCUAGCAAGGAUGCUUUCUGAUAAUAGAAACUAGAGAACCCCGCAAAGUAACACAACCCCUCUAACGGAAAAACAAACCAAGAAUGUCAAAAAAGAGAAGAAAGCUACUAAAAAUGAGACAGCUUGAAAAAAAAAUGAUAUAAUAAGCUAACCCACAAAAUCAGCUGAAUCCAGAUAAAGUGUAAGCAAUAAGAUUUCGAAACCCUAGAAUCAAACUGUAGCUGGGGACGGGAAAAGGAAGAAGAAAAAAACAAUGCAUUUAAACAAUCUGAACCCUAGAAAUCACUUCAAAAGACCCAACAUAAAAAAAAAUGAACACUUUUAAAGUAGAAAGCAGUAAGGAAGUAAGUGAGUAAAAUCAAAACCCAUCAAAACGAAGAGAAGAAGAAAAAAGAGAAAGACUCACAUUUUAUCAGCUUCCCAGUUGGUCUGAGACAUCUCUUUUGUUCGAAGACAAAGACAAACCCCACAGACAGUUGUUUACAAUGUCAGAUUCCCAUGUAAUAACUAAUAAUGAUAUCCCUCCUUACAAAAUAAAGAGCUUCUUCCUCCCAAUCCUCUGAGAAAAAUUAUUGCACAGCAGAAACCAAAUUCAAUGAUUCUUUUCACCUCCCCACCUAAUUUCCCCUAGAAACUGACGAGAUUUAACACUUCAAAAUAAGCCAAACCAAAAGCCCCUCAAAAAAAAAAAAAAAAAAAUUGAGAAAUAAAGUAGAAGAAGGAAGAGGGAGAGAGAGGGAGAUGGAUACAAGUUUUUUUAGAGAGAGAAAGUUCGAGAGAAAGGAGAAAGCAUCUCUGUAAAAAAGCAUUAGAAGUAGCUCAGCUCUGUUAUUAAUAAUAGUAGCAACUAGCGAAUAUUAAUUAUUAAAUCCUUUUAUUUAUUACAGUCUAAAAUGAACCCAAAAAAAAAGUACAGAUUUUUUUUUUUUCACUUGAGCAAAAAGACAGAUUUUUCUCAGAUGAAUUUCUGUAUCAAUUCUUUUUUUUGUUUUUGUAUAAUUUGGAGAAAACGUGUUUUGCGGUAUAUUAUAAAUGAGUUUAUUUUAGUUAUAUUUCUUUCCUGGGUCAAGCUUUUUAAUUUAAGUUCAUAAAAAUAAAAUCUUGACCAUAACUAAGAAUUGUUUUUAAUAAUAUGAUUUUAGAACAAAAGUAGUUUCCACUUUCCAUGUCAGUUGUUUUGGGUGGACGGGAAUUGCAGAAGAGAUAUACACAACACACAUAUGAAAGUUUUAGCUUUAUCACUGUUAAUUUCCUAAACAGCCCUCGUAGAGAUGUGGUAUUUACGUGACGUAGCACGCCUUUCGCCAAAGUACUUUUGCUUUUAAUGACAAAAAUAACCUUUUUAUAAUCAAUUAUACUGAUUUGACCUGACCCCCAAAUCUCUCUUUCGUUGUAAAAACUUCUUCUCAAUUUAUUUAUUAUUACUCGAAUUCGUAUGUUUGUGUAUUAUAAAAAAAAAUUCCUAUAAGUUCAUUCUCUUUUGUUAAAUCUUUCUAUCAAUACAAAGGAAUUUUUUUCUAUUUUUUUGUUAAACCUUUCUAUCUAUGUGAAGUAAAUUCUUGUGAAUACAAGUCUUCUUAGACUACUUUUGGAAAACAAUUGAGGUUUUCUAAAUUAAAGUUUUAAAGCAAAGCAAACUAUGUGCUUCUCUUUUUUACUAAUACAAGACAUAAAAAGAUUACCAUUAAUUAUUAUUAUUAGAAUAGAAUUUUAUGAGAUAGUGAUGCGAGAUCCUUCUUUGAAAUAUUUAAAACUUAUAAAUUAGUCUACUAGAAAAAGAAAAGAAAAAAAAACUUCAACUGCGUCCGACAUUUAAAAACGAAUGAUCAAUUCAUCAGUAGUCAUCACCGAACAACUCACAUCACAACGGCGACUUUUUAAAUGUAUCAAAGAUUCAUUCACUAAAGGGCUUGCUACCUUAUGUGUAAGCGGGUGAGUACCACCAUAUAAAACCAUACUUGUCAAAUUAAGGAUCACGCUGAAUCUUUUUUUCUUUUUUUUUGUUGAAGAAAGGAGAAAGUCGCUUAAAUUAUUAAAUUAAUAUUAUUUGUCACAAAGAAAGUCGCACUUAAACAUGUUUUUAUCGACAUAUACACACAUACAAACACUUUAAAAUAAAAAUAAAAACAAAUUUGACCGAAAAUUUUGAGAAUAGUUUGAUGUUAGGCCCAACAUUGAAUCUCAAGUCCAUAGGAAGAAGGCCUUGCAUAACGCAAAUAGCAGAAUAAGGUAAUCUUUUAGAGGUUGCAAUUGCAUGCUUCUUUUAAGAAAAUGUUUUGAAAGUACGAAGAAAUAAUAGCAAGAGUUCAAGAAGUCAAAUUAUAUUCUCAUGACAACUCUACAAUUUAAGAGAUGACCCCCUACAACUACAAGGCUACAAAACAAACAAAGAAAGCUGUCAGUCUUGGACUAGCGGUCAACCAAUAUUUCUCAAAAUUUGCGGUCGUCAAGAUCUUUGUGCAUGUAAUCACAGGUUUUUAUUACUGUAUUUUAAAACAAUUCAUAUUUAUUAUAUAUCCAACAGAUAUUUUGUGUGGGGAAUCCUAUUAUAUAAUUUGUGAUUGCUAUACAAGUUUGCGAUGAAAAUACUUGUGUAGACUAAUUAACUUGAUGAUAUGCAAGAAAGCUUCUACCAAAGUUGUGAUGACAAAUUACUAGUAUAUUUUAAAAAAAAUUAAACUACAAGACAUGACUUAUACUGUAUUUGAAAUAUUGAAUACACUCAUUAUUGAGUAGAGUCUUGAAUCAGAUAUACAGUCAUAUGUGUUGUUGAUAAUGCCAUUCAAUAACCAUAUGAAUAUUAUAUGCAAUUGGAUGUAAUGUUGCUGACAUUACAAAAACGUCGAUGGCAGAGCUCUUUAUUGCUGAUAGAUGCAUUCAAAUAAGAAUAUGCUUGGGUCUCACACACUAACUAUCCAUAAUACUAUUCAUAUGUAUUGAAUUUUCUUUUCUGUAUUUUUCUUUUUGGUCAGCAUAAAUGGAAAUGAGACGUCACGUACGCAAGUGUUAAAUUCUCAUCCAAGUUUUUCUUUUGGAUUUUAAAUUAUAUUCCCAAGUUCAGAAGUUGAUCAUGUAACACCUCCAAGGACUCGCAAAGUUCAGACAAGAAAAAGUCAGCGUAGAGACUCGCUCACAGGCACAUCACGUGUAACUGAAUGAGCAAUAAGGUAAUUGGGCCAUAAAGACAAUCAAGCCCAAUUUAGAUAUGGGUUUCCGCGGAAAGUUGAAAGGAGACAAAUUUAAAGAUGAUACAUUAGAGGGCUAUAUAUAGCUUAAUCAAUCAAAAGUAAGACCACUCAUUUUUGUUUUCUCUUCGGCCACUUAAAGUUCUUUUAGUUUUUAAGGGUUGGCCACCCUAUCUUUAAGACCCACCAAACUUGUUGUUUUAAUGUUUACAAAUUAUUUCUAUACCGCUUUACAUAUUAUCAAGGUAACCACACUGUGGGAGGAACUAUUUUUUUUUUUUUUUUUUAAUUAGAACCACAAUUACCCAGCGAAUCAAAUGAUCUAAAAAUUUAUGAUAACAUGAUGAAACCUUGUAACCAGAAAUAGCGCUAUAUAUAUAUAUAUAUAUAUAUAUAUAUGUCAGCUGGGAAGUACAAAUUAAAACAUCAUAGGCAAGAGUGAGUUGUGUUAUAACUUUUAAGCAACCAAGCUUUGAGUUUUACCAGCUAGUGCAGUCAACA
This 65047-nucleotide long non-coding RNA is filed under the name Capsella rubella. RNAcentral describes it as "long non-coding RNA (CRUB_LNC001303)". The record is from RNAcentral. Lineage: Eukaryota; Viridiplantae; Streptophyta; Magnoliopsida; Brassicales; Brassicaceae.